This 86639-nucleotide long non-coding RNA is filed under the name Malus domestica (apple). RNAcentral's name for it is "long non-coding RNA (MDOM_LNC006706)". Lineage: Eukaryota; Viridiplantae; Streptophyta; Magnoliopsida; Rosales; Rosaceae. The record is from RNAcentral.
GGAGAUCUAGAAGCAGAUUUGUCAAUAGUAAAGCUGUCUCUGAAUUGCAGCAGGGCGGACUUCUCCUCAUCAGGGCAAGAUGGAUACUGCUUCUGCGAAGAGUAGGAAGAGUAGGAAGAGUUAGCAAUAACCACAUGAUGAAACAGCAACAAAACUAGUACUGGUUUUGAAAUGCGAAUGGUGGAGAUAUCAAGAAACCCCAUGACGACAAUAUUUUGAUUUUUUUUUUUUUUCGUUUUGCACUCUUAGCUAUGUAUGGAGUGGAAAGUGACACAACUAUUUAUAGACUGGCAUCAGCAUAAAAUUCUUCCGCAAAUUAAUCUCUAAAAAGUGAUGGAGAUGGGUGUAAUGGGGACAAGUGCAUCGUAUCUUCUACAUGUGUAAAAGAUGCUCUUGACCAAUUUAUUCGUGAGUUAAUUUUUGAAGUCAAGUCUUCCAACUUUUGAGAUGGUGUGAAAUUAGAAGUUAGACAAAUGAGCAGCACCAUAAAAGAAAAAAAAAAUAUUUGCAUACACACAUAUAGUUUAUCGCAUGAGUUCCUCCUGUAAGGGUUUAUGGUAUUUGUAUUGACACUCUUGUAAGGUUUUAUCAUAUUUGUAUGCCCAAUUGCAAGACUUAUCAACUUUGUAUUUGGGUACUUCUAAAUGUGUUGGACCUUCAUGCUUGAAAUCUUCAUUAAAAUAUGUGUAAUUUGUAUUGGAAUACAAAAUUAAACAAAAAAAAAAUGUUAACAGGUGACUCAUGAGCUUAAUAGGUUGAGUUUGAGUGACUCAUUAGCUUAACGAGUCGAGUGUGGGUCACUCGUUAGCUUAAAUGUUCAGGUGAAACCCGACUCAAACCCAAUAAACCUAACUUGUUUAUAGGUUACCAGCAGAUAGUAAGGGGGAUGAAAGUUUCGAACUCUCAACAACAAAUUAAGACAUUAGAGUCAUUAAAUUCAAUUCCUGCAUUGGCUUGAAGUGGGAUGGAUUUGAAGCCAGAACUUUUCAUUCGAUAUCCAAUUUCUUCAUCAUUAGGACUUUCAAACUCCUAGCAUAUAUUAAGUCAAGAGUGCAGGUGUAACGAAAUUUUUCAUGUUGGAUUUGGUCUAUGUUGCAUUUUUCAAACCGCAAGCCCUUUUUUCAUCAGAAAAGAAAUAUCUCAUUAACUCAAGAGAAAGCAAGGAAGAGAGAUACUUCCACUUGGAGUUGAAGCCCCAAGCCCCAACCAUAGGAAAACUGCAGAAAAACGUAUUUGGCUCAAUUCUAAUUUUCAUUCAUUCUCAAAUGUACAAUAUAUAUUAAAUACAAAUAUAUAGAUUAUUUACAAAUGCACGCCAUUUGCUCUUGCGUGGUGCUAUCCACCCACCCAUUUUACCUGUCACACACCACUCCCAAUUUUCGGACGUCGGGUCAUGUGAAUGGUAGAAGAUCAAUGUACAAAAAUUAACAAGUGUGUGUAUGAAGUAAAAUGGGGUGUGUGAAUAGCAUUAGGAGAAAUUAGAUUCACAUCCUUCAUUUUCCUACUCCAUUGAUUAAAACCUUAUUCCUUUUCAAUUUUUGAUCAACGUCGUUGGAUAUUAAUAAUAUCAUUUAUUAUUUCAAUAAUAAUUUUUUUUAAAUAUAUUCCUUUAGUGUUAAAAAUGUUACAAUUAGUAUAUUUAUAUUUAUGGCUAAAUUUUUUAUCAUAUAUUUUUAUUUUUAGUUUGUAACCAUUUUUAAUUUGCAAACCUUUUUUAAUUUGUACCAAUUUUCUUUUCAGUUUUAAUUUGUACCCAUAUAUUAAUUUCUUUUUGUGCCCAUAUUUUUUAAAGUUUUAUUUGUAUUUGUGUCCAUGUAUUUACCGUCACGUGACAUUGUAUAAUUAAUCAAUAAUAGAAAAAUUACAUAUGAUAUAUUUAUGUUUUAUGGCUAAACUUUGUAUCAUAUAUUUAUAUUUUUAGUUUGUACCCACUUUUAAUUUGCAACCUUUUUUUUAAAUUUAUUGUAUUUUCUUUUUAGUUUUAAUUUGUACCCAUGUAUUUUUUUUUUGCACCCAUAUUUCUAAAAAUUUCAUUUGUACACAUAAUUUUUUUUAAUUUUUUAUCUGUACCCUAGAGGUCGCACUUGGUGCGAUGGCAAGUGCCUUCGCCCAUGAGCGGUAGGUCUCGGGUUCGAGACUUGGGAGCAGCCUCUCCAUAAAUGGGGACCCUGCGUAAAGCAGGAGCUUUGUGCACUGGGUACGACAUUUUUUUUUUAUCUGUUGUCACAGCCCGUCCCGGGAUUUUAUUCAUCGAGGACGUGAAAAGACGGAUUUACCCUUAGCGGGUAUUAAGGUAUGUGUGUGUAUGAUAUAUUAUUUGGACUAAAUAUACAUUCCUAAACUUUUGGAGGAAAUAAUUUAAGUUGGAUUAAAUUGGAUUGUAUUUUGUGUGGUUAGGGAUUAAAAUUAGUAUGUAUGGUUUUGGUUGGACCACACACCCAUUCAACCCUUCUCUCUCUCUUCCCCGUGCUUCUCUCUCUCUUCCUCUCCGUUCAGUCUCUCUCCCUCACUCUCGAACGUACGGACAAGCUAGGAACCUCCCAUUUCUUCACGGAUCGAAGGUUCUAAGGUAAGAUUUGAACACCUAGUAAGCUUGUGAGUUAGUAUAUGUGAUUUUUGGAACUUAAAACCCUCAGAAUCAUCGUGAAACCAUAACCCCGAAAAUGUGCACUGUUCAUGCACACGUAAAAUCUUGCAUUUCAGGCAAUUUCAAGCUCACAUUGAGCUUAAGGAGAUCCUCACGAGCUUCGGGGUACUUCGUUGGUAGAAUUUGGACGUCGGAGGAUCAAGAUCGGAGUUUUUCAAAAUUGGCCGGAUUAUCGUGCUUCCUCAGGUAAAAUCUAGUGGAUUUUGGACCUUGAAACUAGUCUAUUGUGAUUCUACAUGUUGAGGGCUUCAAAUUGAUAUAUUAUACGAAGAAAAUGGUUGAGAAACGAAGGAGAACGAAGCAUUUGAAAAUUCUCCGGUUUCGGCCACCGGAAAAACCAGUCCGGCGAGCUCGCGAGGAAGAAGGUGCGCAUGGGCGCGCGUGGACCCGUGCCUUCCCUGGCGCGUGGGGGCGCGUGCCACAUCAAAAAAUUAUUUUAAAAAUUUGUCGACGUCCGUGACGUCGAGUAGGUCAAUGUGGUAUAUUCAUAUACCCAAAUUGAGCACCGUAUGAGAAGUUAUUAAGAAUUGUUGGUUAGGUGCUUUAAAUAACGUUUUAUAGUUUUUGCAUUUAGGUGAAAAUAUGAAUUGACGAUCCGACCGUUGGAUCGUCACCAACUUUGAUGCGUUGUAAUACGUAAUAUUUGAGGAUUAUAGGAAUUUACGGAUUGAGAAUCCGUUUGCGGAUCUUCCGGAAUUGGAGUUGUAAGUCUAUAAUAUAGAAUGUUAACCGUCACUUGGUUUUGUUAAUUGACGGAGAUCUGACCGUUGGAUGGUAAGGAAAUUUUAGGAUGUUGUCCUAGAGAUAUAUUGUGGACCUCUAGAAGUUAUGGAUUUAAAAUCUGAGUGGCAGAUCUUCCGGAUCGAACUGCGUAGUGACGUAUUUUAUAUAAGUUAUAUAUUCUAUCGAUAUGAAUUCUGAGGUUGGAUUUGAUUAUUGUUUUAGGCGCCGAUUGUCAUGACGCCUUGGCGUAUUGUGCUAGGGAGUUGUAGGGCGAACUCCAGGUGAGUGGGCAGUUUUGAUUUCGUAUUACCUAUAUACAACUGUUUUUCCUAGAAAAUUCGUUUUUAUGAAAACUAUGAAUUAAAUUGCCAUGCAUGCAAUUGUUGAGAUAUCUAGUUUGAUAAUUGAUACUUAUAUAUGUGAAUUGACGCGUUGGACGCACAUGUGAGUUUUAUUAUUAUUCAGAUGAGUUAUUUUAUAUGUAUUGCAUUGAAAGCUCAUAACCUGCACCUAGGUGUUAGUGCUUAUAUUGUUAUUCACCACACCGCACGCUCGUCUUGGAUCCAAGUAGGUGGAUGUCGUACAGACCAUGUGAGGGUUCCGACAUGCUAGUCGUACAGAUCACUAGAUGUGAUUCCGACUAGUGGGUGACCUUAGUUAUGCGCGCUGAUGAUUGAUGAGAGAAGCACUAGAGCGUAAUUGUACACCUGUCAUCGUACAGACUACUAUAGGUAGUUCCGAGUGACGUGCAGAGUUAGGCCGUACAGGUCACUGUGGUGACUCCGGCUGAGUGGGAUGUUGAGCUUAGAAUCAGCCGUACAGGACCAUUGUAGGGUCUCCGGUUGAUUUAUUAUUUCACCUGAUUGAUAUUGAUGCAUUCUGAUUAUAAUUUGGGCAUGGCAUAUCAUUUCUGAGAUGUUAUGAUGAUGGAUAUAUGCUGAGUUAUGAUGUUGCGUAUAUAUAUAUAUAUAUAUAUAUGUUUAUAUACUAUUUUCUGGGAAAAUAUAUAUAUAUGUUUAUAUACUAUUUUCUGGGAAAGUAUACAGGUUUUACGGAGAGGGGUUAGAAAUGUUUUAAAUGAAAUGUUUUCAAAAAACUUUGUUUUACUGACCCACUCAAUUUUGUUUUGCGCCCCUCCAGGUUCUAGAUAGCAGAGCUUUGGUGGCCACGAGGAAUCCAACGGUGUUUUGACAGAAUUCACAAAAGUAGGACUCACCCUCGGGUGUUUCAUCUUAGUAAUUGUAUUUUUUUUAAGCUUCCGAACUGUGUAAAUGGUUACGUCACUCUCACGUGACGGCCAUCAUGCCCUCCUUCGGGAUGGGGUGUGUCAGUUGGUAUCAGAGCCUAGGUUGCAAUUCUGGACAUCUUGAGAAAUUCCUAGUGUCUUCUGUCAGAACGAUACCGCCUCGUAGCGAGCCACGUAGUUCGGAUGAACCUAAUUUCCCUGAUAUAGUAGUUUGGGGGGAAAUUAUUGCCAUUAUGAUUCAGUCUAUUAUCUAAAGGAACCUUUGAGACUGGUUAUAAGUUGAAUUUGAAUCCCUUUAGGGAUAUGAAGGACCUAAGGGAGCAGAUUGAUGGCUUAAUCAUUUGGGAAAAGGCGUUUCGGAUUAUGCAAAGUCAAGGGAAUAUUCCUCUCGACAGGUGGGUCGAGAUGACUACCUAGUUUUUUAGUGUUGAAUCUGCAUUCUGAUGGAGAUAGGAAUGUUAUCCGAUGAUAUCGGAAGGACAGCUGUUUGGAAGUUGUUUAAAGAAUUGUUUAGAAAAAGUUCAUUCCUCCGGCAUAUUGUGAUGGUAGUAAGCAAGAAUUUGCAAAUGUGAGACAAGGAAAAUGACGACGGAUGAAUAUUAUAGAAAGUUUACAGACUUGCCUUGUUUCCAUUCGGAUGUUGUUGUUAAUCCGGUCGUGGUGUUAUGUCGUGUUUGGCUGGAUAAUAAGAAGAAGUGGCGUUCUUUGGCGACCACUAUCCAAUGUACUAUUUACCAAGAAUUUACGAGAUGUUGUUGAGAAUUGAGGACUCUGAGAGCAUGAUCAGCGAGAGUAAAGAAGAAUAAGAAAAGAAUGGUAAUUAGAGGAAAUACGAUAAAGUUAAAGAUCCGUCAUAUCAAGGACAUCGAAAGACUCAGAGCUUCAAAAGAAGUGAAGUUAGAACUAAUUCUUCCAGCUUAGGUUUUAAUGCCACUGGUCAGAGGCGAAGUGAUAGAUUUACUGGUGAUCCCAGAUCUUAAAGACAAGGUGACUCGAGUAAGGGAAAUGUACCUUUGUGCCAUAGGUACAAUAUUAGACACUUUGGAGAGUGUGGGAAUCAGUGAAUGUGUUCAUGUGGACAGAUGGGACAUAGAGUUAUGAAUGGUCCCUAUAAUCAGUUGUUACCCAGCAGUCUUCCCUGACACCACAAUAUCGAUCCAGCAGGUUUAUGGACUUAAUAGUUUGGUCAGAUGGGUCAUGGGUACAGGGAUAUUUGAUGAGUUAUAAGUCCAGCCGUACAGGCCACAAGAGGUGGAUCCGAUAGACAUAUUAUUUGGAAAAUUGAUGAGUAAGUCGUAUAGGUCACUAUAGUUGACUCCGACUUAUGUGCUAGCAUGGAUAGUUAAGCUAGAGAAUCAGUCGUACAGGUCAUUCUAGCUGACUCCGGCUGAUAUAUUUCUUAUUAUGGACGAUGUUGCCAAAGAGAGUAAUGUUGGAGCACGAUCGAGGCGUAUUUAUGUAUUUCUAAGGAAGAACAAGAUGAUAAUAUUACACCUUUAGGAAUUGUUACUUACUUAUCGAGACAACAGUGAGUUAUUUGUAUUGCGGGCUGCAGACCAUAAUAUUUAUAACUUAUUUGUUGGAUUCGUUAAGCAAGUAAACAGGUAGGGCACUCUAUGUUGAUUUGGUUUAUUCAGGAUGCCUAAUGAUGGUGGAAGAUAUAGUUAUGCCAGUGAAUCUUAUUUCGUUGGACAUCGUGGAUUUGGAUGUGAAUUUAGGCACAUAUUAGUUGCGUUAUAAUCAUAACAAGAUAGAUUGCUACGGGAAACCCGUUACCUUCCACCAAUUUGGAUGACUAGAGGUUACUUUUGUGGGUAUGCAAAAUGGAUUGAGUUAGGCCGUUAUUUAUGCUGUGAGAGCAAAUAGAUUGUUAUCGAAAGGCUGCCAAGGAUACUUAGCUCAUAUGGUGAUAAAUGAUGUUGCUUCUAGUAGUUUGGGAGAUGUAAAGAUGGUUAGACAUUUUCUUGAUGUUUUCCCUGAGGAAUUACCUGGAUUGCCGUUAGGCGGAAUUAUGGAGUUCACUACUGAUUUGUCUCCAGGCACAAAAUUUAUGUUAAAGAUUGGUUCAUGAUGAGUUAAGGGAAUUGAAAAUUCGGUUACAGGAAUUGGUUGAUAAAGGUAUCAUUUAAAGUACAUCACGUGGGGGAGCACCAGUUUAUUGGUGAGGAAGAAAAUGGACAUUAAGCCUAUGUUUUAAUUAUAGGCAAUUGAAUCGGGUAAUGAUCAAGAACCGUUAUCCAUUGUUACGUAUUGAUGAUUUGUUGAUCAACUUAGAGGUCUGCGUAUUUCCUAAGAUUGACUUAAGGUCUGGUUGUUAUUGAUUGAAGAGUUAAUGAUAACGUUCCUAAGAUUGUGUUCAGGACUCGUUACGGUCAUUAUGAGUUUUAGUGAUGUUAUUCGGAUUGAUGGAUUCUCUUGCUGUUUUAUGAGUUUGAUGGAUGAAGUAUUCCAAGAAUGCAUUGACAAGUUUGUUAUUGUUUUCAUUGACGAUAUUCUGGUAUACUCUAAGCCUAGAGCAGAGCAUGUUAGAUAUUUUAAGUUGAUGUUACAAAGUUUGAGGGAACGUCGAUUGUAUGCUAAGUUUAGCAAAUGCCAAUGUUGGAUGAAUGAAGAAGCAUUUAUGAGAUAAGUUAUAUUUGCUAAAGGUAUUCAAGUGAAUUUUUAAAAGGUAGCGGAAAUUGAGAAUUUGGAACAACCACGAAUUGUGAUUGAGAUUCGAAGUUUUCUUAGUUUGGUAGGCUAUCGUGGACGGUUCGUGAAAGAUUUCCCAGUCAUUGCUUUGCCACUGACGAGAUUGACGAGAACAGAGGUUAAGUUUGAGUGGAUAAUAAUUGUGAGCAAGGGUUUCAAUAGUUGAAGUAUUUCCUCACUCAUACAAGUAUUUUAGCACUCCCAGAAGAUAGCGGUAAUUAUGAGGUCUUUAGUGAUGCUUCUUUUGGAUAAGUGUUAAUGCUGCAAGGUAGGGAGAUUGCCUAUGCUUCACGGCAAUUGAAACUUCAUGAAAUGAAUUACUCUACUCACAAUUUGGAGUUAGUAGCUAUCAUCUUUACUUGGAAGUUUGGAGACAUUACUUUUAUAGUGAAAAGUGUAAGAUUUUUACGAAUCAAAUGAGUCUCCAAUGUCUGCUUACUCGGGGGUAUUCUAAUCUUAGGCAACGAAGGUGGGUUGAGUUACUAAAUAAUUAUGAUUGCACGACCAGGGUGAUCGUGAAAUUGUUGCGACUGAUGCACUUGGUAGGAAGGCUCCAGUAAGAAUUAAUGCUUUGUAUGCUUGUUGUGUUUUCCCUUCUUGCGGAUUUAGGACCCUGGAGUGAAACUUAAGGUAAAAGUUGAGAAGAAGCUUUAUUGACUAAUUUUCAGGUUAGACCAAUUUUAGUUGAUUGUAUACUUGAUGCCCAGAAAUUUGACGAAGGAAUUCAAGAAUUAACCGAGGCAGAAUUGGAUGGUAUGUUUAUGCAAGAGAAUGGGACGUAUGUGCCAAAUUAUGUGGAAUUAAGAAAGCAAUUUUGACGAUGUACACUGUUAAGCUUUUUGGGUAUGUUGGUUACUUCUAAGUUUUGGAUAGCGUACAGGAAGCUUGGUUACCAAGUUACCUUAUAGUACAACUUAUCGCCCUCAAAUAGAUGGUUAAUCAGAGAGCACUAUCCAGACUUUGGAGGAUAUGCUGAGAUCUUCAGUAUUGCAGUUGGCGACACUUAGAUUAAGCGGUUGGAUUUGAAGGGAAUUGCCUACAUCUAUAGCGUUCGUUCGAGCAUGGGUAUGAGACCAUUUGAGGCACUUUUUGGUAAAGAUUGUAGUACACCUUUGUGUUGGACAGAAGUUGUCAAAAGAGUUCUUGCGGGCCCUGAGGUUAUGGAUGAGUCUACUUGGAAUGUUCGAGUGAUUAAUUUUAACUUGGAAAGCGGCCCAAGAUCGCCAGAAAAGUUUAACAUACAGACAUGCCACUGAUCGAGUGUACAAGGUAAGUGAUUGAGUAUUUAUGAAGUUAUCACCGUGGCGAGGUGUUGUUCGAUUUGGAAAGAAAGGUAAGUUGAGUCCUAGGUACACCGGACCUUAUCGGAUCACCGAGCGAGUCGGUGAAGAUGUUUACAGGCUUGAAUUGCCGUCAGAGCUGUCCAGUGUACAUAAUGUGUUUCACGUUUCGGUGCUUCGACAUUAUGUUACAAAUACGUCGCAUGUGAUCCCUCUGCAACCCUUAGAGUUUAACCCAGAUUUGUGUUAUGUGUUACGACGAGAGGGAGCCGGUGACGAUACUUGAUUGGAAAGGCAAGGUUCUAAGGAAUAAGACAGUGAGCUUGGUAAAAGUAUUGUGGAGGAACCACUCCGUGGAAGAAGCUACUUGGGAGACCGAAGAUCGGAUGAGAGAGAUGUACCCGAGGUUAUUUUAUGAGUAUUAAGUGGAUUGGUAGGUUGUAUGAAUUUCGAGGACGAAAUUCUAUAAGGGGGAAAGAUUGUCAUAGCCCGUCCCGGGAUUUUAUUCAUCGAGGACGUGAAAAGACAGAUUUACCCUUAGCGGGUAUUAAGGUAUGUGUGUGUAUGAUAUAUUAUUUGGACUAAAUAUACAUUCCUAAACUUUUGGAGGAAAUAAUUUAAGUUGGAUUAAAUUGGAUUGUAUUUUGUGUGGUUAGGGAUUAAAAUUAGUAUGUAUGGUUUUGGUUGGACCACACACCCAGUCAACCCUUCUCUCUCUCUUCCCCGUUGUUCUCUUCUCUCUUCUUCUCCUCUCUGUUCAGUCUCUCUCCCUCACUCUCGAACGUACGGACAAGCUAGGAACCUCCCAUUUCUUCACGGAUCGAAGGUUCUAAGGUAAGAUUUGAACUCCUAGUAAGCUUGUGAGUUAGUAUAUGUGAUUUUUGGAACUUAAAACCCUCAGAAUCAUUGUGAAACCAUAACCCCGAAAAUGUGCACUGUUCAUGCACACGUAAAAUCUUGCAUUGCAUUUCAGGGAAUUUCAAGCUCACAGUGAUGAGAUCUUAAGGAGCUUCGAGAGCUUCACGGGUUCGGGUACUUCGUUGGUAGAAUUUUGGACGUUGGAGGAGACCGAGAUCGGAGUUUUUCAAAAUUGGCCGGAUUAUCGUGCUUCCUCAGGUAAAAUCUAGUGGAUUUUGGACCUUGAAACUAGUCUAUUGUGAUUCUACAUGUUGAGGGCUUCAAAUUGAUACAUUAUACGAAGAAAAUGGUUGAGAAACGAAGGAGAACGAAGUAUUUGAAAAUUCCCUAGUUUUCCGGCCACCGGAAAAACCAGUCCGGCUAGCUCGCGAGGAAGAAGGUGCGCGUGGGCGCGCAUGGACCCGUGCCUUCCCUGGCGCGUGGGGGCGCGUGCCACAUCAAAAAAUUAUUUUAAAAAUUUGUCGACGUCCGUGACGUCGAGUAGGUCAAUGUGGUAUAUUCAUAUACCCAAAUUGAGCACCGUAUGAGAAGUUAUUAAGAAUUGUUGGUUAGGUGCUUUAAAUAACGUUUUAUAGUUUUCGCAUUUAGGUGAAAAUGUGAAUUGACGAUCUGACCGUUGGAUCGUCACCAAACUUUGAUGCGUUGUAAUACGUAAUAUUUGAGGAUUAUAGGAAUUUACGGAUUGAGAAUCCGAUUUGCGGAUCUUCCGGAAUUGGAGUUGUAAGUCCAUAAUAUAGAAUGUUAACCGUCACUUGGUUUUGUUAAUUGACGGAGAUCCGACCAUUGGAUGGUAAGGAAAUUUUAGGAUGUUAUCCUAGAGAUAUAUUGUGGACCUCUAGAAGUUAUGGAUUUAAAAUCUGAGUGGCAGAUCUUCCGGAUCGAACUGCGUAGUGACGUAUUUUAUAUAAGUUAUAUAUUCUAUCGAUAUGAAUUCUGAGGUUGGAUUUGAUUAUUGUUUUAGGCGCCGAUCGUCAUGACGCCUUGGCGUAUUGUGCUAGGGAGUUGUAGGGCGAACUCCAGGUGAGUGGGCAGUUUUGAUUUCGUAUUACCUAUAUACAACUGUUUUUCCCAGAAAAUGCGUUUUUAUGAAAACUAUGAAUUAAAUUGCCAUGCAUGCAAUUGUUGAGAUAUCUAGUUUGAUAAUUGAUACUUAUAUAUGUGAAUUGACGCGUUGGACGCACAUGUGAGUUUUAUUAUUAUUCAGAUGAGUUAUUUUAUAUGUAUUGCAUUGAAAGCUCAUAACCUGCACCUAGGUGUUAGUGCUUAUAUUGUUAUUCACCACACCGCACGCUCGUCUUGGAUCCAAGUAGGUGGAUGUCGUACAGACCAUGUGAGGGUUCCGACAUGCUAGUCGUACAGAUCACUAGAUGUGAUUCCGACUAGUGGGUGACCUUAGUUAUGCACGCUGAUGAUUGAUGAGAGAAGCACUAGAGCGUAAUUAUACACCUGUCAUCGUACAGACUACUAUAGGUAGUUCCGAGUGACGUGCAGAGUUAGGCCGUACAGGUCACUGUGGUGACUCCGGCUGAGUGGGAUGUUGAGCUUAGAAUCAGCCGUACAAGAUCAUUGUAGGGUCUCCGGUUGAUUUAUUAUUUCACCUGAUUGAUAUUGAUGCAUUCUGAUUAUAAUUUGGGCAUGGCAUAUCAUUUUUGAGAUGUUAUGAUGAUGGAUAUAUGCUGAGUUAUGAUGUUGCGUAUAUAUAUAUAUGUUUAUAUACUAUUUUCUGGGAAAGUAUACAGGUUUUACGGAGAGGGGUUAGAAAUGUUUUAUAUGAAAUGUUUUCGAAAAACUUUGUUUUACUGACCCACUCAAUUUUGUUUUGCGCCUCUCCAGGUUCUAGAUAGCAGAGCUUUGGUGGCCACGAGGAAUCCAACGGUGUUUUGACAGAAUUCACAAAAGUAGGACUCACCCUCGGGUGUUUCAUCUUAGUAAUUGUAUUUUUUUUAAGCUUCCGAACUGUGUAAAUGGUUACGUCACUCUCACGUGACGGCCGGCCAGCAUGCCCUCCUUCGGGACGGGGUGUGUCAUCUGUACCCUAAUUUAUUUAUACUGUACCCAUUCUUCUUUAUUAAUGUACCACUUUGUUAUAUGUGAAAUGUACCAAUUUGUUUUGUAAAAUGUACCAAUUUUUUUAACACUAUGGAUACAUUAAUUCUUUUGCCAUUUAUUAUUUGUUAUUGUUACAUAGUUUUUAUCCAUUUAUUUAUCAAAAUGUUUGAACUUUUUCAUUGUAGCCAUUUCUAAUAAUAUUAUAAUGAGGGAUUUUAAAUUUAUAGGAUUAUAAAUCUUAUAAAAUAUCAAACAAUUAAUGUCAAAACUAUAAAAAUAUAAAUAUUAAUAGUAAUAUAAUGAGAUGUACAAAGUCAAUGGACUUUGAUCAAACUUUGAAUACCAUUAAGGUUUUAGUUAAAAAGUGUUAGAGAUUAGGGACCCCAUCCAAAGUAUCCCAUAGCAUUAUCCUUACUCUUUCAUACAAUUAGCGUAAUGUAAAAAAGUCAACGAACCCAUGUAGAAGAUUUAAUGAGUCGAAUUGUUCAAUGAACCAAACCCAUGUAGAAGAUUUAAUGAGUCGAAUUGUUCAACGAACCAAAUUAACUAACACUCCCCCUCAAGUUUUGUUGGAUAAAAGCUUAAGCGCUCAAAACGUACUUUUACCUGACGGAAUGAUUUCAUCUCAGAAGGUGUUUUCUUAUAGUGAUACCAAUUAACUCCAUGAUAAUAAUCUUUUUAAUUAUUUUAUUUUUUCACUCUUAGCUAUGUAUGGAGGUACAAAGUGACAUAACUAUUUGUAGACUGGCAUCAGUAUAAAAUGAUUCUGCAAUAUGAUUUCUAAAAAGUGAUAGAGACCGGUGUAAAGGGGACAAGUGCAUCGCAUUUCUUCUACAUGCAUAAGAAGAGAUACUCUUGACUAAUUGAUUCAUGAAUUAACUUUUGAAGUUGUCUUCAACUUUUAAAAUAGCGUGAAAUCAGAAGUCAAAAAAAUAAGCAGCACCAUACAAGAAACAAGGCUUGAUGACGCAGCACUAGCGUAGAAGGAUUAAAAAUAUAAAUCCUUGAAGAAACAAAGUUUUUGGAACCCACCAGUUUGAUAGAAACUCUAAAAGGAUAAUUUGAUUAAUUGAUGAGUUGAUGAUUACAAUGGAUAAUACCCAUGACUUAAAUAAGUCAUUUACAACACUUUUGGACAACUCAAAAGGCUUAGAGAAUUAAAACGAAAGUAAAUGACAUUAAUCGGAUGACAAUUGAAAAGUCCAAAACUUAUUACAAACUUUAUUUUUUGGUUUUGGAAGCCACGGUCGCAAGAGUUGGCAAGCCCCGCACACAACCGAAGGACGUAGUUAGCUUAUUGAUUACUCGGCCUGCGUGCCAUGAAUGCUUGGUAGUUUUUAAGGUCAACAAUUGUACAUUUGAGAAUGAAGGAAAAGUACAAUUGAGCCAAAUAUGUUUUUCUACAGUUUUCCUAUGGUUGGGGCCUCAACUCCAACUCGAAGUAUUUCUCCUCUUCCUUGCUUUCUCUUGAGUUAAUGAGAUAUUCCUUUUCUGAUGAGAAAAGGACUUGCAGUUUGAAAAAUGCAACAUAGACUAAAUCCAACAUGAUAAAUUUCGUUACACCCGCACUUUUGACUUAAUAUAUGUUAGGAGUUUGAAAGUCCUAAAAUGAUGAAGAAAUUGGGUAUCGAAUAAAAAUUUCGGGCCUCAAAUCCAUUGCACUUCAAACCACUGCAGGAAUUGAAACAGAUGACUCUAAUGCCUUAAUUUGAUGCUGAGAAUCUGAAACUUUCAUCUCCUUUACUAUCUGCUGGUAACCUGUAAAUGGGUCCCGUUUAUUGGGUUUGGAUCGUGUUUCACCUGACCCGUUAAGCUAAUUAGUCACCCCUAACUCGUUAAGCUAACGAGUCAUCCAACAAAAACCAUCAUCGGAGAAGACAAACGGAACCGGCCGGAUCGGGAUAAGGGAACGGGUCCAUCCUCCCGUGCCUUUUCCCUCUCCCUCAUUUUCCUCAUUUCCUCCCCUUUCAUCUCAACCAUCCAUCUCUCUCCUUUCUCUUCCUUUCCUUCCAUCCCAGCCACACAAGUGGCUUCACAAAUCUUUGCUCCAGAAAUCUGGAGCCUUCCAAAUUAAAGAAAAUUACCAAAAUGUCUUUAACUUUAAAUGUUAAUAACUCUUUCAUUAUAACUCUGUUUCACGAACGGUUUGCUCCUACACGUUCGUGAGAUCAAGCUCUAUUCAAAAUAUGAAUUGUAACCUCGAAAGGUCUACGGAUUUUAAAGAUUGAUUACGAAAAUUCAACCCCGAUAAUUAUUUGAUUUAAUUCCAAAAAUAAAUGAAAUUAAAAUUAACUAAUAAAAAUAACGUAAACGUGAAAUAUGAAUUUAAAUAACGAGAUACGUAAUUAAUAGUGAAAUUCCGAGGACGGGAUUUCACAAGAAUUCUUUACAAGGCUACAAAGAAAAUAAAUAAAUUAAACUUCUAGAGAUCUCAAAUCUAAUUCAAUCUCAUUCCGCCUACUCUCAUGACUGUCUAGUUUGAAAACCUGCAUAACAAUAAAGGGGUGAACUUCAACAACUCACUAGGGACAUAAUCUUAAAUAGUAAAAUAACCAAGCUAAAUUAGAUGUCAUGGCAUCAUACACAUCAGGUAUCAAAUCAUUAUUGAUAACAAUGCAUGAAGGCAACGUAAAGCACUUUACCUAUACUUGUUAAUUCGUAUAACAAAACACACAGACCUCGUACGUCUCAUUCCGUACUUAUACCACUUGAUCAUGAGUGCUAAGUUAUAUAAAAUUUCCACCGACCCCAAGCCCGGGUCGUGACACCUAACCAGGUCAACAGACCUGGUGAUCGCACCUAAUCAAAACCCCUGGUGCCAAUAGUGCCUGCUGGCGUGAGACCCUCUGCAGCAGCCCCAACAGAAGAGCCAAACGACUCUAUAUGACGUGGCUCGAUAACAACCGUCGAAUUGAUCUUAGGCGGGUGUAAUUGAUCUUAGGCGAUUAUUGAGGCGUGUCGGUAGAGAGAGGGAUUGAUUAAUUUGGUGGUUGCAUGACACAUGUAAUAUCUCCUUCAGUCAUGGAAGCUUUCUCAAAUUUUAGUCAGUCAAGUGUAAUGCCAACAAUUGUUUAAAGAACAGAUUAAUUUUUCUUCAAAACCUACAACUAGCAUACGGAACAAAACGAUCAAAUGGAAGUCACCAAGAGGCAAUAAUCACGGAUCGGGAGCUAUCAGAUGGACAGCACAGCACAAAACUUGACAUUGAGUACUUUACAUGUGGGCCAAUUCGGUGUUGGGCUUUACAUGUGGACCAAUCUGUUCUGACAUUCCAAAAAAAUAUGACCACAAAAUGAAACAAUAUAAAAAGUGAUUUAACUUAUUAUAAGUCCAUGCAAGGUUUUGUUAUUCGUCGAAAUGGGACUUUAGCCUUCACACCUUCACAUAAUGUUCCAAUAACUUGUUUUUUCCCAUUAAUUUUCUUGUUAAAAUAUGUCAAUAAUUAUGAAAAUGGUACGUAAAAGUACUCUUAUAACAUCCCUCAAAUAUGGAAAACCAAAUAAAAUAAUAAAACUAGAAAACAAAAUAAAAUAAUAAAACUAGAAAACACAUUGUUGAUGUGUAACCCUUGAGCUAAUAUCUUGGAGCUAAAGUUACAAAUUUUGAUUUUCCUUUUAUGUGAUUUAUCUUUCUGAUGUAAACCAAGUGGUCUCUUCUCUAGCAUAGGAUCCAAGUGAUAGAAUAAGACAAGUGACAUCAUCUCAUAGGAUGAUAGCAAUGAAUGGUUGAGAUUGUUGUGUAUUGGUGAGUGAAGGAUCUCCCUUCCUCUACAUACAUAACGGUUACAAAAUGUAUUUGGUCUAAUUGAGUGAAAUCCAAGAGACAUAUUCAAUCAUCUUCUCUCUGAACACCAUUGCUGUUUUGUUCUUCAAACUCUAACACAUAGAACUCCAUUGAAAUACAAAUAAAACACAAACUCUAAUAUGGCCUCAGAGCCGGGUUCGGUUAUCUAAACUGGGCGUAAAUCUGUGAAAAGAAAACUGGAAUUGAUUAGAGCUGCAAUCGAGCUCAUACGACGAUCGAGGUGGUGUGAUUUCUUGAAUCCGAUGUCUAACAUGGCAGGAUCGGGCACUGCUGAGCUUCGCACGCCAGUUUUCAAUGGAGAAAAUUAUGAGUUCUGGAGUAUUCGAAUGAAAACCAUUCUGAAAUCUCAUGGGUUAUGGGAUAUCGUUGAAAAUGGGUUCGAUGCUUCAGAUUCAAAGAAGGAGAAGAAGAAGAUAGAAGAGAUCGAGGUCACUGAAGUGGAGAAACCGACGUUAGCUGAAAUCCUGAUGAAGGAUGCUCGUGCACUUGGGUUGAUCCAAGGUGCUGUCUCAAACCAAAUUUUCCCCAGAAUUGUGAACGAAGAGACUUCAAAGGGUGCUUGGGACAUUCUGAAGCAAGAGUUAAGAUGAGAUAAGCAAGUAAGGAGCGUAAAAUUGCAAGGUUUGCGUCAAGAAUUUGAAUAUACUCGCAUGAAAGAUAGUGAAUCCUUAUCUGUAUAUCUUACUAGAUUGUUUGAUAUAAUGAAUCAAAUGAAGAGUUAUGGUGAGGAUCUGUCUAGAGAGAGAGUUGUGAAAAAAUUGUUGAUUAGUUUGCCUAGAUCACAUGAUCCUAUUUGUUCCGUAAUUGAACACUCUAAUGACCUUGAAACUCUUGAGGUUCAAGAGGUAGUUGCUUCUCUGAAAAGUUUUGAACUCAUAUUGGAUAGACAUGCUGAAAAUUCUACUGAACGAGCUUUUGCUAGUCUAAAUGUUGGAGGUAAAAACCCUAAGGGAGUAGGUUAUUCUGGAAAUCAAAAGUUUCAGAAAAACUAGAAAUCCAAAGGAAAGAAGUGGGAUAAUAAGCCAAAUUUUGUUCACAAACCAAAUGUCUCUAAUGAUGGAAACAAGACAGCUUGUAGACACUGUGAUAAAUUGCAUUAUGGCAAAUGUUGGUUUGAAGGGAAGUCUAAAUGCACAGGUUGUGGGAAACUUGGGCAUGUGAUCAGAGACUGCCAUGGAAACAAAAAUAUACAGAAGGUGAACUAUGUAAACCAGGUUGAAGAAAUUGGUACCAUGUUCAAUGCAUGUAAUGCUAUGACAGAUGUGAAGGUGAAUCAUUCAUGGUACAUUGAUAGUGGUUGUAGUAACCACAUGAUAGGUGAUGAAAGGUUACUAAUCAACAUUCAAAGGAAUCUGACUUCCAGGGUGAAGAUGGGAACUGGAGAAAUUGUUCAGGUUGCAGGAAAGGGGACUCUUGUUAUAGAGACCAAAUUGGGAAGAAAGCAUAUUCAAGAAGUGAUGCUUGUUCCUGGACUUGAAGAGAAUCUGCUAAGUGUUGGACAGAUGAUGGAGCACGGGUACUAUCUAUUGUUUGGAGGAAAUAUUGUGAAUAUCUUCGAUGGUUGGUCACUGGAUAAUCUUGUUGUUAGAGUGCAGAUGACAAACAACAGGUGUUUUCCUCUUACAAUGAUGCCCGCAAAUUAGUUAGCAUUGAAAGCAAGUGUGACACACUGUAUGCAGAUAGGGCAUAAACGUUUGGGGCAUCUAAAUAAUAGAAGCAUAAAAAUGCUUGAAGAUCAAGAAAUGGUUCAUGGAUUGCCUCAUUUGGAGAAAACCUCUGUUGUGUGUGAAGGCUGCAUGCUAGGAAAGCAACACAGAGAGUCUUUUCCAUCAAAAUCAGCUUGGAGAGCUAAACUUCCAUUGGAAUUGGUUCACACAGAUAUCUGUGGACCAAUGCAAACUGAAUCUAUCUCUGGAAAUAAGUACUUUCUCUUGUUCACUGAUGAUUGUACUAGGAUGUCUUUGGUAUAUUUUCUCAGAAACAAGUCAAGUGCAUUUGAUUGUUUCAAGAAGUUUAAAGCAAUGACAGAGUUGCAGUGUGGAUAUAAGGUGAAAUGUCUAAGGAGUGAUCGGGGUGGAGAGUUCUUAUCAACCGAAUUUGACAGUUAGUGCAAUGAGCUUGGAAUUCAAAGGCAAUUAACCAUGGCAUAUUCUCCUCAACAUAAUGGAGUAGCUGAGAGAAAGAAUAGGACUGUGGUGGAAAUGGCAAAGUCUAUGAUGCAUGAAAAGGGUCUUUCUUAUGCAUUUUGGGCAGAGGCUGUGAACACUACAGUCUACAUACUUAAUAGAUGUCCCUCAAAGUCUCUCAAGAAGAUAACUCCAUUUGAAGCAUACACUGGUAGAAAACCAGGUAUUGCACACUUGAAGAUUUUUGGGUCACUAUGCUAUGUGCACAUUCCCUCAACACUAAGGCAUAAGCUUGAAGAAAAUAGUCGCAAGUGUAUUUUUGUAGGCUAUGGAAUCUGUGAAAAAGGGUACAAAGUGUUUGAUUUGAGUUCCAGUAAGAUCAUCCUGUCUAGAGAUGUACACUUUGAUGAGAAUGCUUCAUGGGAGUGGGAGAACACUGAUAAGAGUGAAAUACAAGUCCCCAUGAUUGCUGAGAAUCAAAUGGCAGAUUGUAGUGAAGGACAGAAGCAAGUGGAAGUAUGUGAACCAAGUCAAUUCUUGGAUACAUCAACUCAAGUGGAGGAUGUUAUUACACCACUAAGUGAGAAUGUUUUCGAAAGCUCUCAAACAACUGAUCACACACCACAGAAAUGGAGAAGUGUCAAUGAGAUCAUGGCUCAGUGUAACAUGUGCAUUGUAGAACCUAAAAACUAUGAAGAAGCUAUUCUAGAUGAGUCAUGGGAAAAUGCAAUGAAAUUUGAGCUUGAAAUGAUUGAGAAGAACAACACAUGGGAGCUAGUUGAUAGACCAUUUGACAAGCCAAUCAUUGGUGUUAAGUGGGUCUAUAAAACCAAGUUGAAUCUUGAUGGACCUGUGCAGAAGAACAAGGCCAGACUGGUGGCAAAAGGUUAUUCCCAAAAGCAUGGGAUAGACUACAAUGAAACAUUCGCUCCGGUUGCAAGAUUAGAUACUAUCAGGACCUUGAUAGCAAUUGCUGCACAGAAGGAAUGGAAUCUAUAUCAGUUGGAUGUAAAAUCUGCUUUUCUGAAUGGAACUUUGAAGGAGGAGGUUUAUGUUGAGCAGCCACAAGGUUUCGUGAAGGAGAGUGAAGAAACCAAGGUGUAUAAGUUGAACAAGGCUCUGUAUGGGUUGAAGCAAGCUCUAAGAGCUUGGUAUGAUGAGAUAGAUUCCUAUUUUAGCAAGGCAGGUUUCAAGAAGAGCUCUAGUGAAGCAACACUUUAUGUCAAAACUAGUGAAGCUACAGGUAUCAUUAUUGUUUCACUCUAUGUGGAUGAUAUUGUAUAUACUGGAAGUUGUCCAAAACUACUUGAAGAGUUCAAAAAUGACAUGAUGUAGCAUUAUGAGAUGACUGAUCUGGGGUUACUUCAUCAUUUUCUUGGCAUGGGAGUAGUACAAACAGAUAAAAACAUUUUAAUCCACCAGAGGAAAUAUGCAAUGAAGCUUAUUGAGAAAUUUGGGAUGAAAGAUUGCAAAUCAGUGGCAACACCACUAGCUGUGAAUGAGAAGUUAUGCAAGAUAGAUGGUAGUGAAGCAGCAAAUGAAAGUGAAUAUAGACAAGUUGUAGGUAGCUUGUUAUACUUGACUGCUACAAGGUCGGAUAUAAUGUUUGCUUCUAGUUUACUUGCUAGAUUCAUGCCUAACCUCACAAAGAAACACAUGGGAACAGCCAAAAGGGUGUUGAGAUAUAUUCAGGGCACUCUUGAUUUUGGAAUUGAAUUUGUGAAAGGGAAGACAAAUACUCUAAUAGGGUACUGUGAUAGUGACCGGGCAGGAAGUGAGGAUGACAUGAGAAGCACCUCAGGAUAUGCAUUUACACUUGGAUCCGGUAUGUUUUCAUGGGCAUCAAUCAAACAAAACACAGUGGCACUGUCCACUGCAGAAGCAGAAUAUGUCAGUGCUGCAGAAGCAACAUCACAUGCUAAAUGGCUAAGGUUUGUGCUUGAAGAUUUUGGAGAGGAGCAAGUGGAAGGCACACCAAUUCUGUGUGAUAACACUUCAGCCAUAGCAAUGGCAAAGAAUCCAGUUCUUCACCAGAGAACUAGGCACAUCAGUAGGAAAUUUCAUUUUAUCAGGGAAGCUAUCCAAACAAAGGAGAUUGAACUCGUCUACUGCAAAACGGAAGACCAGAUUGCAGAUAUACUAACCAAGGCUCUGUCAAAGGAUCGAUUUGUUUACCUAAGAGAUCUACUUGGUGUGAAAUCAGCUAAAGGGUUAGAAGGGAGUGUUGAUGUGUAACCCUUGAGCUAAUAUCUUGGAGCUAAAGUUACAAAUUUUGAUUUUCCUUUUAUGUGAUUUAUCUUUCUGAUGUAAUCUGAGCCAUUGGAUCAUAGUCCAAGUGGUCUCUUCUCUAGCAUAGGAUCUAAGUGAUAGAAUAAGACAAGUGGCAUCAUCUCAUAGGAUGAUAGCAAUGAAUGGUUGAGAUUGUGUUGUGUAUUGGUGAGUGAAGGAUCUCCCUUCCUCUACAUACAUAACAGUUACAAAAUAUAUUUGGUCUAAUUGAGUGAAAUCCAAGAGACAUAUUCAAUCUUCUCUCUAAACACCAUUGUUGUUUUGUUCUUCAAACUCUAACACAGAGAACUCCAUUGAAAUACAAAUAAAACACAAACUCUAAUACACAUAUCCCUAUUCUAAUUUGGUAAACUAGGCAGCCAUAAAUUCCACACAUUUCCUAGUCAAAUUUGCACCAAAUCAGGCUUAAGAAGUGGUGUUGGAAAGAUGAAAACGUUCCUUUCAACUUUGUAGAAUGAACUUUCCUAAAAAAAAACAUAAUUUUCAAAGACUUGUGACCAAAACAGCCUAAAAUGUCAAUCUGACAGCGCAAUCCUCUUCACUCCUUGAUGAAUCAGUUCUAAUUGGAAUCACUCCAAAAUUUCAUCAUUUCGUCACUUUUUAAGCAAACUAGAUUUUGCUUGUCCUCCAAUUAAAGCAUAAAAGAAAGUAUCAAAAUUCUCUCAAGAUAACAAAUAAAUUAUACCAAAGAUUAUGAUAAAAAUAUAAAAUAAUAUCUACUAGGCGGUCCUCAUACAAUAAAAGAGAAUUAAGUCACGAUAAGCAUGGAAACUAUUGAGGAGAAUUUGUAAGGUAAAUAUUUAUACAAAUGAUAACACUAUUAUUCAUCAACGAUAACGCAAGUUUUAGGGUGAACUACAUUGAUGUUUUCUGUGUUUGCACUUAAAGUCCGCCAAUCUUUUUGCAUUUGUUGCCUAUUGCACUGCACAACUGAUGGAUGUUAAUAUUCAGUUUACAAGCAGUUCCUACUAAACCAGUUCCCUUGUAGUCUACGAAAUGUUGUACAAAUUUCGUAGCUUUGGUUUUAGAAUUUAUACAACUCUAGUUAUACACAUUACUCUUGAAUAUGUAACUGUUGUACAAGUAUUCUUAGUUACUUAGGCAUAGGAAAGUUUUGAUUUGAUUUGAUUGAAAAGAGUGUCUCCAAUUAAUCGAAUGAACAAGAAUCCUUUUAAACAAACAUAGCUGCUUUCAUUCUAAUUUCAGAAAAUCCAAAUCCAUGAAAACAUAUACAGCACUCUACUAUCUUUAUUGAUAUCACUUUCAUCUCCAUUUUGUUUGUUAAAGGAUACGAACAAACAUUGAUAUAACUUAAAACAGUAGGAUAUAUAGGGCAGAGUCUUGAACUUGAAUAACACAAUCAACUAAAAGCUAUGAAGCUUUCUUUCUUUUUAAAGAAACCUCGACGGUACGAGAGAAAAUUUUAUUGAAUAAAAAAAAAAAGUUACACCUAGUCGGGGGACAUAAACUUUACUCAAAAUAAAGACAGGAUAAAGAAAAUUGGCGAAAAUACAAGAAAGUAGGGGGACAUACACUUACAUAACAUAAAACAAACUUAUAACUAAACAUAUAGAGAAGGAAAGAAACCACAAUAGAGAAACCAAACGACAACAACAGAUGCAUAACAUUGUAACAAACUCAAUUUCUAUCCCCCCCCCCCACUAGUACUCUAAAUUUUCCAUAUCAUUUGUCUGAUCAUUCCAACAAUCUUAAGAAACAAAUCGGGCCUCCUUGUGAUCACAACAUCUGCAAGAACUACUCCCACUACCAACCCACUUCCACAUCCGGCCGAAACAAUUUUCCAAUCAAAUUCAAAUAUUCCUGCUGAGCUAGAAUCACCUUCGUCUACGGUUGGAGGUGGAAGUUGAGGGGCCUUAGGAUUUCCACAUUUCUUUGGCAAUGGAUCUCCACACAACCCUGGCACUACUACAAAAGGACCCUAUAGUGUCAGUUGUUGCGUCGGUUUAAUAUCAUAUAGUGGCGCACAAGAGAGUUGCGACACCCACUGAAUAUGACGUCGGAUUUAGAAAGUCUGCGUCGCUUCUAUAUGCGACACGCAUACUUAAUGUCGCUUAUAACCGACACACGUUUUAAUAAUUUUAAAUACUGGCGUCGCUUUGAAUAAAACAGUGUCGCUUUUAAGCGACAUUAAGUAUGCGUGUCGCAUAUAGAAGCGACACUAAUUGAUUUUUUUAUAUAUUUUAAAUCCUACGUCGGUUCUGAGCGACAUAUAUUUUAUUUUUUUAAAUAUUUUGAAAACCAGUGUCGGUUGUAAGCGACAGAUUGAUCGUCUUUAUAUUCACUCACCCGUGUUCAUCUUUUCCUCUUGCAUUUAUCUCAUUCUCACGGUUCACAAACCUUCUCUCUCUCACCUUCCGAGUUCUUCCAAGUUCAUUCUUCACAAAGGUAAAUUUUUCUUGCUUGUAGUAUUUUUAUUUUCUCCUCUUAUGUUUAAUAUUUUGAUACAAUUUAUUGUUGUAGGGAAUUUAUUUGAGCUGGUUGAGUAUAUAAAGAAUUGAUCGACGACGGAAUUCUUCUAUAAUUCAGGUUUUCUAUCACUAAAUUCUUUAAUUUUUAAAUUGUAUAAUACACAAGUUUAUUUAUUUAAAAAUUGUAAUUUAAGUAGUUAGAUAAAUUUCUAUUAUUUUUGUUAAAUUACUUCAUAUUUAGGCGAAAUAAAUUAAUUUUGUCACUUGAAUUGUUAUGAGAAAAUAGAAUGAAUAUUAUCUAUAAGCAUUUAUGUUAAAUUAACAACAUUAAAUAUAACUUAAACUUAUAAUAUUGAGUAAUUUAAGAAUAUAUUAUGUUAAAUUAAUUUUUUUUUCACUCUAAUUGUUAUUUUAAUUUGUUGUUAUUUUGAUAAUUUUUUGUUGUUAUUUACUAGAAUGGAUUAGAUGAGAAUAAUUUGAAUUGUUAUGAGAAAAUGGAAUGAAUAUUAUUUAUAUGCAUUUAUGUUAAAUUAACAAUAUUAAAUAUAACAUAAACUUAUAAUAUUUAGUAAUGUAAAAAUAUAUUAUGUUAAAUUAAUUUUUUUUUUUUUUGCAAUUUGAAUGGUUAUGAGAAAAUGAAAUGAAUAAUAUUUAUAAGCAUGUAUGUUAAAUUAACAAUAUUAAUAUAACAUAAACUUAUCAUUUUUAGUAAUAUAAGAAUAUAUUAUGUUAAAUUAAUUUUUUUUACAAUUUGAAUUGUUAUGAGAAAAUGGAAUGAAUAAUUUAAAUAAGCAUUUAUGUUAAAUUAACAAUAUUAAAUAUAACUUUUGCACUAUAAUUGUUAUUUUAAUUUAUUGUUAUUUUGUUAACUUUUGGUUGUUAUUUACUAGAAUGGAUUAGAUGAGCAUAAUUUUGAUAACUUUUUGUUGUUAUUUUAAUUUGUUUUUACUACAAUAGGUGUUGAAAAUUAAAAGAUUGCAAUCGUGAUCGUGAUAGAGUUCGAGGGUUGAAAGAUAGAAAUUGAAAAUUCUAAUAGUUAUGCCUACAUGAUAGGGAUUGCAAGAUUGUAGGCAUCUUAGUGUCAGCGUAAUAUUUUACCCUCAUAAACUGGUAAAACAUGGACAAGAGUUGGUUGACGAUACCUCAAAAUUUUGAAGCGUAUACAGUUGGAAUUAAUUUGUUUUUGGAUCAAGCAGUUGCAAAUGGUGUUGGUCCUGAUAAGUUUAGAUGUCCUUGCAAAAGAUGUUGUAAUCGAUAAACUUUUGUUAGGAACACUAUUAUUGAACAUCUCAUAUUGUAUGAUAUGGAUAAAGAUUAUAAAAAUGCUUGCUGGCGACAUCAUGGCGAGCAAAACAUUGGAGAGCAAAAUGUGGCAAUUGGAGAAGAAGAAACAUGAGAUGAGGUGAUUGGUAUGCAUGACUUUCUUAAUGAUGUAUUUGUCCAACCAUUAACAGAAGAAGGUGUUGGGCCGUCUAUUGAACCGUCUAUUGGGGAAGGGCGUCCAGAAGAGGUGGAGACUUUUUUUAGGUUGCUUGAAGAGCCAGAUCAAGAUUUGUGGCCAGGGUGUAAGGAGUUUAAGAAAUUAGAAGCAGUUGUAAGGCUGUAUCAGAUCAAGUGUUUAGCGGGAAUGCCAGACGACAUCUUCACAACUUUACUGGAGUUAAUUAAAAGAAUGUUGCCUGAAGGGGAUUGUUUGCCUGAAUCAUGUUAUAAGGCAAAAAAACUUAUAAAUGACUUGGGUCUGACGUAUGUGAAAAUUGAUGCAUGUCCCAAUGAUUGCAUGAUCUAUUGGAAAGAUACUUCGGAUUUGACCGUGUGCUCGGUUUGUGGUGAAUCAAGAUAUAAAGUUACCAACGCAGCGGAUAGGUCGAGAAAAAAAAGAUCGCAGCUAAGGUUAUGUGGUAUUUUCCUUUAAAACCAAGAUUGCAACGAUUUUUUAUGUCGAAGCAUACGGCUGAACAUAUGAGGUGGCAUGCAAUUGAAUGUCCUAAAGAUGAGUUUAUGAGACAUCCUUCAGAUUCUCCAGCAUGGAAGCAUUUGGAUAAUUUAUAUCCGGAUUUUGCGUCGUCAGAAAUUCGAAAUGUUCGAUUAGGGUUGGCCAGUGAUGGAUUUAAUCCUUUUGGAAAAAUGAGGAAUGAUCAUAGCACAUGGCCGGUGGUGCUUUCUGUUUACAAUUUGCCGCCUUGGAUGUGCAUGAAGCAACCAAAUUUGUUGUUGUCUCUUUUAAUACCAGGACCGCGCAGUCCUGGUAAAGAGAUUGAUGUAUACAUGCGUCCACUGAUUGACGAGUUGAAUGAGUUGUGGGAGGUGGGCACUCCAACUUAUGAUGCGUAUUCCAACCAAAGUUUUAUGAUGAAGGCUGCUGUCUUAUGGACUAUAAGUGAUUUUCCGGCUUAUGGAAUGUUGUCAGGAUGGAGUACACAUGGCUAUAAAGCAUGUCCACAUUGCAUGCAUGAUAAAGAAUCCAUUUACUUGCCGGCGAGUCGUAAAAUUUGUUAUAUGGGGCAUCGACGGUUUCUUGAAGAUAAUCAUAGGUUUCGAAGGCAAACCACAGCUUUUAAUGGUCGUCGUGAGCAUCGUGAGCAUCGUAGUGCACCAAGGCAGUGGACUGGUUUACAAUGUCUUGAAGAACUUUGUACAUUGAGAUUUACUUUUGGAAAACCAAAGAAAAAUGCUUCAGUCGGGCAACGCAGAAAAAGAACUUCGAGCAGUACAAGUGGUAACAGUCAGUGGAAGAAGAAAUCUAUUUUUUAUGAACUACCUUAUUGGAGGCAUCUGUUGAUUAGACACAAUCUUGAUGUUAUGCAUAUCGAGAAGAAUAUAUGUGACAGUCUGGUGGGAACAUUGCUAGGUAUAGAAAAGUCUAAAGAUGGAUUGGCUGCACGUGCAGAUCUUGAAGUCUUGAACAUAAGACGCAGUCAACACCCACGUAGAGAAGGAAAUAGAACAUUUCUACCUCCAGCUUUGUUCACGUUGAAAAGAGAAGAAAAAACUGCGCGUUUUGCAAUGUGUUGUCUACUAUUCGGGUCCCCGAUGGAUAUUCAUCAAAUUUAUCGCGAUGUGUGCACGUGAAUGAACGAAAAAUACAUGGGUUGAAAAAGUCAUGAUUGCCAUGUUUUAAUGCAGCAGUUACUCCCGCUUGCAAUACGCCCGGUUUUGCCUAAAGUUGUUACUAUGGUAUUAUUAGAGUUGAGUGCAAUUUUCAGACAGUUGUGUAGUAAGAAGGAGUCUGAGGAAGGAUUUCAAGGAACUGAGUUCAAGAAUUGCCUUGACAUUAUGUCAACUUGAAAAAAUAUUUCCUCCUGCAUUUUUUUGAUAUUAUGGUGCACCUUCCAGUUCACUUGGCAGAUGAAGCAGCUCUUGCAGGGCCUGUUCCCUAUAGAUGGAUGUAUCCAAUUGAACGGUAAUUAAUAAUUUUUUUAUAAAUUUUUUACAAUUGUAGUCAUAACUUUAAUUUAUAAUUAUUACAAUUGUAGUCAUAACUUUAAUUUAUAAUUAUAGGUAUUUGCAAACGUUGAAGCGCAAUGUUCGUAAUAAAGGUCGUCCUGAAGGUUCUAUGGCUGAAGCAAAUUUGGUGGAUGAGUGCUUGUCCUUCUGUUCCAUGUAUCUUAGAGGUGUCGAGUCUCGUCGUAACCGUAGAGGCCGAAAUGAAGAUGGUAUUGGACGUGGAGUGUCUGGUGGGUUAUCAAUUUUUGACUCCAAAGGAUGUUAUAUGGGUUCAGGAGAACAUGUGGAGCUCGAUCUAAAUACUCUUGAUCAGUGCCAUAGAUAUAUUCUAAAUAAUUGUGAUGAAGUGAACCCAUUUAGAAGGUAAUAACGUUUAAUCACACGUUUUAAUGUUUUAUUGAUUUUCUUAACUUUGAAAAAUUAAUUAUCUAAAUUUCGACAUAAUUGUGUAGCCAACAUGAGGAAUUCUUGAAAACUAAACAUCGUCGAGAAAGGUUAACUAUGCGCCAAAUUAAGGAGCUAAGCAAGAAAGAAUUUCCAGAAUGGUUCAAGCAACAUGUGAGUUGAUAUAACAAUCACAUUAUUUAUUUAUUGUUUUGCAUUUUAAUUAUAACAUGUUAUAGUUAUUCUGUCAAUUUUUAUCUUCAUACUUAUUACAGAUGAAUUCAAGCUAUCAUGCUAAUGACACGUUGAUAUCUGAAGACUUGCAUUGGCUAGCUAAUUAUCCUAGUAGGGUUGUGAGUAGAUAUAAAAGUCACAUUGUUCAUGGGUUUAGAUUUCGUAUAAAAUCUGUGGAUGAUAAGCAUAAGAAUCAAAAUUGUGGUGUCUUUGUACCUGCAAAUGUUCCUGGAGCAAUUGGGCAAGUGAAUUGUUAUGGCAGAGUUGUUGAUAUGUUCGAGGUUAAAUAUUGUGGUCCUACUGAGGCGGAAGAUAGGGGUCGAGCUGUGAUGUUAUUUAAGUGCGAAUGGGUUAAUAGUGAAAGUCCACGAGGAAUGAAGACCGAUCAAUAUGGAUUUACUAUGGUGAAUUUCAAUCAAUUGGGAUUUAAAGAGGAUCCUUUCAUACUAGCAUCACAAGCAUUACAAGCAUUUUAUGUGGAGGACACAAUUGAAAAAGAUUGGCACGUAGUUGUUCGAACUCAGCCGAGGGAUUUGUUUGACGUACUAGAGGAUAGUGAUGCUAUUGAUGAUUAUGCCAUACCGAAUUUGGAUGAUCGAAUUCUUGAUAAUGAAAAUUUUCAUACAAGGGUUGGCGUGGAAGGGACUCCUUUUCUUGAAUCAUUAGCGCUGCCUACCGAGUUCGUUAAUCAUGCCAAUGUUGACGAUGAGCUAACAGAUGAUGAAGGAGAAUAAAUAUGUUAAUUAUUUUAUGUAUUAAUUAUCCUAUCUUUCAUUUCGUAUGUUAUGUUAUCUUAUUAUCAAAAUUAUAUUUUUGUUUUUUUUUAUUAAGUAUUAAAUAUAAGUUAAACCUUUUAUUUUUAAUAUUGGGUUAUAAUUUUUUUUUUUUUAGCUUGUUUCCUGUCGCUUUUAACCGACGUCGGUUUAAUUAAAAUAUUUUGGGCGGCAUUUUUCGCGGUUUUUUAAUUAAGUUGGCGUCGGUUUUAACUGACGCAAUGAAAGCUUAUUUCGACGCAAUGUCAUUUUAGCGUCGGUUUAAACCGACGCAAACUAAGAUUAUUUCGACGCAGACUGUCAUAUUACGUCGGUUUGAUCCGACGCAAUAUAAGCCUAUUUCGACGCAAUGUGAGUCUAUUUCGACGCAAGUUAAAAACCUGUUGUGAAUUAUAUGUAUUAAUGCGAAGAAAGGAUGAUUAUUUUUUCUUAUUUAAAGUUCACGAAAUUUUUUGAGCCGUUAAUUACACUAUUUUUCUUUUUUAUUUAACAAUUUUAUACUUCUAAAAACUUUAACAAUUUUAUACACUAGUGGAUAUCCCAAAAUCUUGUGUUAUACUUAAUGAAAGUAUGAAUAAACUGUUUAAGUGUUAGUGAAUGUAUCGUUUUGAUGGAAUACGAACUCUACGAAACUAAUUUCAACGAUCGAACCGUCAAACAUGUUUGUGUAUACUUCGAGAUCGCAUACGCCAAAAAUUAAAAAAAAAAAACUUUCUGAGACACAGUAACGGGAAAAACUUAUUCGACGGUUAUUAACGAAAAAUCACGAUGUAACGGUUAUUUUAACUCCGAUUUUGAUGAUUUUUUAUAUGUACACUCCUUCACCCUAUAUGAAUACGGUGAAUGAAUGCGAUCUUCAAUUUGAAAUAUUUACACUAGUGGAUAUCCCAAAAUCUUGUGUUAUACUUAAUGAAAGUAUGAAUAAACUGUUUAAGUGUUAGUGAAUGUAUCGUUUUAAUACAACAAAUUAUUUGCAUAAGAAAAAUUCAUUUUAAACGAAUAAUGAUAAGUUAAGAUAGAAUAUUUGUGGUGAAUUUAGAAUAUUUAUCAUAAUAUUUUAUGAACUAGUUGGUCAAUUAUUUACAAUAAAAAUCAAAAUUUUAAGGAUAUUAUAAACCGAACAAUGUUUGAUCAAAAGUUUCAAAAUUAUAGAUGUUUGAUUAAAACAAUUCAAAUAUAAGCCAUCAAUAUCACAAUGUUCCUAAAAUUAUAUUUGUGUUUUUAUUAAGCAUUAUGUAUAAGUUAAAUUUUAUAUAUUAAAAUAUUAUAAGAAAUAACCUUUUUUUAUUUUAACUAUUUUUUUUUCUCCUGCGUUUCCAUUUUUUCUUUUUUAGUUAAACUCUUUUUUUAUUUUUUUGUUGGGCGGGAAUUUUCCCGGUUUUUUUGCACGGGGAAAUGGAUCGGAAGAAUUAGGGUGGAAUUGGACGUGCGAAAGAACCGAAGCAUCGAAAUAAUAAAUAGUUGCGUCGAAAUAAUAAGUAGUGGCGUCGGUUUUAAUCGACGUAAAUACUUAUUAUUUCGACACAACCACUUAUUAUUUCGACGCCUCGUAUUAUACGUCGGUUUAAACCGACGCAACCAGUUAUUGUUUCGACGCAGGCAUUUAUUUCUAUGCCUCGGUUCUUUCACACGUCCAAUUCCGAGGACACUGCAAUUAAUGUCUGUCAGAAUAACGUCGGUUAAAACCGACGUCAUUGUCCUCUAUUUCGACGCUAGUUAGAAAUGUCAGACUAUAACGUCGGUUUUAAGCGACGCAAUAUGCCCAUAUUUCGACGCCUCGGUCACAUUCGCACGUCCAAUUCCGAGGCCACUGCAAUUACUGUCUGUCAGAAUAACGUCGGUUCAAAUCGACGCAAUUAGCCUCUAUUUCGACGCUAUUUAAAUCUGUCAGACCUAACGUCGUUUUGAAGCGACGCAAUGUUACCCUAUUUCGACGCUAGUCAAAAAUGUUGCAGAGGUGGUGUCGCUUUGAAGCGACGUAAUAGUUGCAUAUUUCGACGCUAAUUUUUUUGGCAUAUUUAAGGUUCUACGACCUAUUUCCGUCUCUCUCAUUUCACUCCCCAUUUCACUCCCUUCACUCCCCAUUUCACUCCCUUCACUCCUAUUUCCGCACUUCUUCCUUUGGUUUUGCUAUGGAUAGUAGUUGUGAUUCUCAACGUGAUGAGGAACUUCAUGUGGAAGAGGAGGAGGUUGAAGCUGGUUAUUUUUCUACAUUAUUAUUGGAUUCGUUUUUUUUUUUUUUUUUGUGUUUAAUCUUCUAUUAUCCUUAUAAACUGAAAGUUUACAUCUGUUUCCAACUUUUUUGGUUUGUUUUAACUGUGGUUUUGUUAUGAACAAGGAACUUCUCAACGGAGGCGAGGACCCUCAAUUCCCAAAUGGACGAAACAGCUUUGUUCGUUUGAUAUGUCUGGAAAAUGCGUUAAUGAUAACUCUAGUGCAUUUUCAAAAUAUGUGGCAUCGGAGGUUAGAGACCACAGAAUUCUCCCAUUGGCGAAGCAUUGGCGUAAGAUUAAGGAUGUAGAUAAGGAAGCUUUUUGGAAUAGAAUUAAGGUAUAGGUAUUUAUAUUUUUAUUAGAAAAUAAAAGAAUAAUUCAAUGAUUGUUAUAAUAUUUGACUUGGUUGAUUUAUUUUUUUUAUUUUUUAUUUUAUGGAUGUAGGGAAAUAUUGUUUUUGAAGAUGCUGAUAUACCAAGAUUGCCUUUGAUCCGCUUUAUGACGCUUAAGGUUGCUGAGCAUGCACAUAAGGAGUACAGAAAUAAGUUAAAAAAAAAAUAUUAUACCAACAGAGCUGCAGAGGAGCGUCCCCAGCCUCCUCCUGAUGUGAAUCCUACCCAGUGGGGUAAUUUGUUGGCAUACUGGAGUGGAGAUAAAACAAAGGUAAACGAUGUAGUUUAUUUCGUUAUAACUAUAAAUUUGUGUAAUAAUUUUUUUAUUUUUAUUUUCAGGAGGUUGCUGAAAAAAACAAGAUUAAUCGGCAAAAGAAAACAAUGAACCAUACUACUGGUACAAAAUCUUUUGCAAGAAAGCGGCAAAGAUAUGUAUGGAUUGUACAAUUUGAAGAAAUGUUAUUUUAAAUAUUCUAUAGUUAUAAAUUUUAAUUUUAACGAGGUUAGCCUAAAAUUGUUUGUGUGAAAUUUUAUUUUUGGUAAAGCGGAAGAAGCAUGGGAAAGAAGCUGAUCCUGUAACCUUUUUUCGUGAAUGUCAUACACGAAAAAAUGAAGCUUGGAUUGAUGAAGAAUCGGAGCGUACAGGGGUAAUUUAUUUUACUGUGUUGGUAUUUCAUUAUUAUUCAAAUUUAUUAUCUAUAGCUUAUUGUUCUGUUUUAUGAUUGAAUUUUUCUUUUUAAAAAUUGUAAUGCUAGGCAACAAUGGAGAGCAAUCUGCAAACUUUGAUUCAGUCGGGGCAAGAGGAUAAUGAAGAUCUUAGGAACCAAGUGUAUGUUGACACAAUGGGUCCUGAGAGGUAUAAUAGAGUCAGAGGAUACGGUCAUGGGGUGACUCCUGAUAUGGUGUCCUAUGCAUCUUCUUCGUCUUCUACAUCAAUUUCCUCCAAGAGGUCAUCUAACAGUGCAAUGGCAUUGCUGAUGACUCAAAAUAAUGAGUUGAAAUUGAGGGACGAAAAUAACAAUAAACGGAUUUCGGACCUAGAGAACAAGCAAAGUCAGUUGUUUGCGUGGCUUUUCCAAAGAUUUCAACCACAAGCACAACCACAACCACCGUUUAGCCCGGGAACCCAACAGUCAGGCCAGAGUCAGCCUCCUCCUCCUCAACAGUCGGGUCAAAGUCAGCCGCCCCCUGCAUAUCCUUAUGCUGGCUAUAAUCAGCAACCUCCGUAUCCUAUGUAUCUGCUGCCUAUGUAGCCCACGCCAUACAUGCAGCAGCCGCCUAUGCCAUACAUGCAGCAGCCUCCCAUGCCUUACAUGCAGGAGCCGCCUUAUCAAGUGCCAGUAUAUCGACCCGAGAUGGCUGCGCCUUGUCCUGAAUUUCCAGCUGGGGGGUUUGCUGAAAUGCUUGCGGGUGUUGGAUCUGAUGUGGACUUGUCGAGGAUGUUGGCAUCAAAUAUAGGACCUCAAGGGCGAGAAGGAUCUGUGCCACGUUCAGGCGCAGAUUCGGUUCCGUAGUUUAUUUGGUUCGCUUUCUUGUCGGUUAAAUAUGACACUUUAAUCGUUCUAUCUUUUUUUUUUUUAUGUUAUGUUUGUAAUGUCGGAUUUAGUAGUUGUUAUGACGGAUGGGUUUUUGUAUAUUUUGACAUUAUUUUUAUUGUUAAUUAUUUUCAUUAAUGUAUGGACAAUAUUGUGUAUGUUGGCACUAUUUUUUUUAAUUAUUUUUUUAAUGUUUUUCUUUUGACCUUGAAAUUAAUUAAUAUAAUUAUAUAAAAUUUUUCUGUUACAAUGAAUCGAAGAAGAAUGCGAUUUGUAUGUUUUUUUUUAUUAUUAUUAACAAAGGUGGUGUCGGUUAAGACCGUUAUUCGGUUGCAUAUUUUAUUUAUUUAAUUGUUAAUUGACGUCGGUUUAUGGGAUAUUAAAUUGAUUUAAUAUUAUUUCAGUGUCAUUUAAAAGCGACAGUAGGAAUUAUAUUUUACAAUUAAAUUGCUAUUGAACGUUGCCUUAAAGCGACGUAACGUGUAAGUAUGCGUCGCUUUAAACCGACGUUAGUUUAGUGUCGCUUUAAAGCGACGCUAUGUAGUGUCGGUUUAAGCCACCAAACCGACGCUAAAGCCCUUUCGUGACGCUAGCAAUAGUGUCGCUUUGAAAAUGCGACAUUACAUUGUUUUAUGUCGCAUUUUUGCCAAAAUUGCGACAGAAAUCUGAUUUCUUGUCGGUUUUGACUCCGACGGUGAUAGCAUAUAUUGUAGUAGUGUGGGUUUCCCUCGUAUGAAGUAAUAUUCAAUGAAGUAAGCUGGGUUCCUUCUGGUAUAGGACCUGUAUGAACGAAUAUGUCAUGUUUGUAUAUGAUAUUUUAUUUUUUUUAUCCUACGGCCUACUAUGUUAUCUUCAUCUUCGGUCUCAAAAGCCUUCCUUAACUUCUCUUUAUCUAUCUCAAAUUCAUAGCAUAGUAAUAAAAACAUACUGCAAACAAUUUCACUAUGCAUUAAAAUUUAUCAACACAAUUCCUUGAGCUCUCGACAUUAUAAAUUUAUAAAUGAAAGAAAACAGGUGUUAAUGCAGAAGUCAAAAGAUAUAAAUCACUUUCAAUUGAUAGAACUAAAAGAUCACAAAAAAAACAUGGACCUAGCGUUGAUACCAUAAGAAUGUCCAAAGGCUAUUCCUGUUAACUUAGCCUGGUCUUCUCUUGGUCGAUUCUCGAUCAACUCCUCCUGCUUAACCUCAAUUAUUUCAGUUGUCACCUCAUUCCUCCCCCUCUUUUUACUGACUUUAAUCUCACUUGCACCAGCAGCGGGGAUGGCUGGCACAACAGUUCCCGACCCACCAAAUCAAUCAUUCCAAAAUUUCUCAGUCUCAAUCAAUUCAACGAACAGAAUGGCAGCACCACAUUUUCUUCGAACACCACCUGGCAUCCCACAAGUCUACAACCCUCAAUCCACCACUACCUUCAAUGUGUAGCCACCUCAACCACGGGGACCAGCCACCCAUGGUUUCAUGUAUGCAAGUGGAGUUACAACCAGCAAUGCAGCAGAAAACAAAAGUAGAAAAUGGAGAAAAAGAAUAUAGAAAGAAAAAGGGUGUCUGGAGGUGGAGAAAAGCCGAGAGGAGAAAGUGGAGAGCACGGCUGCCCACUCCAUUGUCUAAUAAAAUAAGAUCAAGAUGAACUUUAAUCAUUCAUGGCAGGGGACAAAUACAGAGUAUAAUAUAUACCCAUUAUCCCACUAUCUGGAAAAGUAUAGAGUAUGGAGUGCAAAGUGACACAACUAUUUAUAGACUGGCAUCAGUAUAAAAUUCUUCCGCAAAUUAUACAUAUACUAAAACCCAGUUCCCCGAGCACCGUUUUUCACAGUUCGUGAACAAUGAAAAGACGGUAAUACCCUCGGGUUUUCUUAGCUUUGCCCUCAUGUGUGCAGUCAAUUGCCGGUUUUACCCAUUGAUCCCAAGGGUUCUGUGUCGUUUCUUUCUCUCUUUCCAUUCAUCUCUUUCACUUUACCUUUCAGCUCUCCAUUUUUUGCUUUCCUCAACUGGGUUUUCCUUCGUCGUCGGUGUGCGCUCUGAUUUCUCUCAAUUUAUUCCUUUUCGUUUUGCGAAAUUAUGUCCGGCGAGACAUGAUCUUUGAUUUUUGCAACCAUUGUUGGCCGUUAUUCUCUGUUUUUGGCUGCCAUCCGUAGUUUGGAUCGAUUUCGUCUUUUUCACCGUUUUGUUUCAAGCCUCUCUUUUGAGAGAAUUUUUACGUAUUAAGGUUAGUGAUUUCUAAACUUAAGUUUUGCUUUGCAGUUUGAUUUCAUUUUUGGUUGUCUUGCCCAAAUGUUAGAAGCUUUUAAUUUUUUUGGGUUCAAUUUUAAAUGGGUUGUUGCUUUCGGAGUUUUCGUUUGAUGACAGAGAUGGGGGUUUUUGGGGAAAAACUUUUAAUCCGUGAGUUUUAGUUAAGUUGUGUUGUGGGUCCUGACAAAUGGAUUUUUUGUUGAAAUUGUUUUUCUUCUCAUUUUUGGUUUUUUUUAUUUUUUUUAUUUUUAUUUUUUUGUGCCAUCGGGUUUUUGCAUGUGGGUGUAUAAUCAGGUUUUCUUCUGAAUUUCAGGGGAUUCAGGUUUUUAUUUUUUUUGGAACUUUUGUAUGCAGCUUUGGAAGACAUUUACGCUUAAGGUGAGAAACUUUGGUUGCCCGCUUUUGGGUUUUGUUGUAGAAUUAAGUUUUUUUUUAUUUUUUAAAGAGUUACAUUCGUGGGAAUUCAUUUAUUCUUCUUUUUUUCUGCAUCUGGAAAAUGCAACCUGAUGUGAGUUAUAGUCAUAAGUGCAAACAAGAAAAAGUUAUAGUCUUAAGUGCAAGAAAUAUAAAGCCAAAAGAACCUAGCAACAAUAUCAUACCUUAUUUUUCAAUUUACUUAUAAGGUUUCACAUUUUUGUAAAUAUCAAGAACAAAAACCUAGAACAGCCUCACAAUUUGGUGCACUGACUAGGAAAUUGACAGUUGGGUAUAGGUAUGGGUAGUUAAAAACUAUGAGACAUGAGAAUUAUUGUCAAAUGCAAGGACAGAAGGUCGUGUAUUUGCAAAGUUGAAGCGGCCCAAGGACCGAGUGGGUUUAAGGUUUAAUGCUCAGUAGUUGUUGUGCUUCUGCUGCUUUUUAGUUGUCGAGGAUAUGCAGGGAGAGCAAAUAAAAAGAUUGUAUUCACUGUGUUGACGCAUUAUUGAACAAGAGACCCAAAAGGAAGGACAUAUUCAAUCUCAAAGUCUGUCAGCUUUCGCUUCUUAAUUUUACAACAACAACAAAGCCUUUUCCCACUAAGUGGUUAUUAAUUUUGUUUGCUCUUCGAAAGUUGAAUGCAUGAGUUUUAUAAUUUUUUUGCGAUUAGUUUACCUGAGAUGGGUUUUGGGUAAUCAUGUAUUAUUUUCUGAUUUGGUUACAGGAUGCAAAUCAUUGCUUCUUUAGAAAAGAUUAAGGAAGGUGAGCAAUUUCAGAAAAAAAAAAUGCGAUUAUCAUUUUCUAGAGAUCAUGGCAUGCCCUUCCGUUAUUUUUUGGUAGAGAUAGGUGUAACGGGCAUCUCUUACUAGUUGAUCUCUAAAGAGUGAUAGAGAUAGGUGUAACGGGGCAAGAACUUUUUGAAGUCAAGUCUUCAACUUUUGAAGUCAAGUGCAUCGUAUCUUCUACAUGCGUAAAAGAGGCUCUUGUCUAAUUGAUUCGUGAGUUAAUUUUUGAAGUCAAAUCUUCAACUUUUGAGAUGGCGUGAAAUUAGAAAUUAGACAAAUGAGCAGCACCAUAAAAGAAAAAAAAAAUUGCAUACACACAUAUAGUUUAUCUCAUGAGUUCCUUCUGUAAGGGUUUAUGAUAUUUGUAUUGACACUCUUGUAAGGUUUUAUCAUAUUUGUAUGGCCAAUUGCAAGACUAAUCAAAACUUUGUAUUUGGGUACUUCUAAAUGUGUUGGACCUUCAUGCUUGAAAUCUUCAUUAAAAUAUGUGUAAUUUGUAUUUGAAUGUAAAAUUAAACAAAAAUAAAUAAAUGUUAAUGGGUGACUCAUGAGUUUAACAGAUUGAGUUUGAGUAACUCAUUAGCUUAACGAGUUGGGUGUGGAUGACUCGUUAGUCUAAAUGGUCAAGUGAAAUCCGAUCCAAACUAAAUAAACCCGAUCCGUUUAUAGGUUACUAGCAGAUAGUAAGGGGGAUGAAAGUUUCGAACUCUCAACAGCAAAUUAAGACACUAGAGUCAUCAGAUUCAAUUCCUGCAUUGGCUUGAAGUGGAAUGGAUUUGAAGCAAGAACUUUUCAUUCGAUAUCCAAUUUCUUCAUCAUUAGGACUUUCAAACUCCAAGCAUAUAUUAAGUCAAGAUUGCGGGUGUAACGAAAUUUUUCAUGUUGGAUUUGGUCUAUGUUGCAUUUUCCAAACUGCAAGCCCUUUUUUCAUCAGAAAAGAAAUAUCUCAUUAACUCAAGAGAAAGCAAGGAAGAGAGAUACUUCCACUUGGAGGUGAGGCCCCAACCAUAGGAAAACUGUAGAAAAACGUAUUUGGCUCAAUUCUACUUUUCAUUCAUUCUCAAAUGUACAAUAUAUAUAUAUAUAUAUAUAUAGCCAAGUCCAAUAUUAGAAGUCAAAUCGUGUGAAUGGUAGAAGAUCAAUGUAUAAAAAUCAUUGUUCUAAAAAACGCCAUAGGCAGCCACCUAGGCGCUAGGCGCCUUGGAACCGAGGCGAUUUUGUGCAAAAAGGCUAGAAAAAUUGGGGUGGCUCUAGGCGGGCUAGGUGGCUGGAUGAUUUUUUUUUUUUUAAAUGUUAAAGUCUAAGUUCUAAUUAUACCUUGAAAUUUUAUUAAUUUUAUAGAAUAGGUGUGUUGUGUACCAACUUAAAUUCCGGGAUGCUAAAGAUAAGUAUCUUACAUUACUAAAUUUCCGUAUUUUCCUCCUAUUUUCCAUUUUAUGUUAUUUUAAAAUGUGAACUUAUUGUACAUGUGUCAUACUACAAUACUCCUCAAUAUGGUUAUAUGGCAUUGUAGACAUCGAAAUUUCGGUAAAUAAAUGUUGACCGAUAAAUCAAAGUUUCAACGCUCAUGUAUUACAGAAAUUUUACACGUAGCGUGUGUCUAAACAAAAAAUCGAGAAUCAUCGGAAAAGUCAUCAAACAUGACACAUGUCAACACCUGGCAGAAACGACUUAUUUCAUCUGGAAUAUUAUAUUCAAAAUUAGGCCUUGGAAAAUUCUAUAAAUAAAAGCCAAUUUCAUUCAUUUGAGGGGACCAAAAAAUCAUUAGGCAAAAUUCUUGAAGCUCUGAAGCUCUGAAACUCCGAAGCUCUCAAGUAUCCAGGUUCCCGAAGAAUCAAGAAAGCUCUCUUCGUUCUUUGUUCUUCGUUCAUCCUAAGAUCAAGCCCCAACGGCCCUUUGGAUCAACAAUCAUCCACCAAUUCAAGAUCAAGCCCCGACGGCCCUUGAAGAAAGUGUUCUUCGUUCUUCGUUCAUCCUUCUUCCAAGAUCAAGCCCCGACGACCCUUGGAUCAACAAGCCACCGUUCUUUAGGAUCAAGCCCAAAAGCCCUUGAAGAUCCGUUCAUCACUGUUCUUCAAGAUCAAGCCCAAAAGCCCCUUGAAAGAUCCGUUCAUCACUGUUAUUCAAGAUCAAGCCCAAAAGCCCUUGAAGAUCCGCUCAUCACCGUUAUUCAAGAUCAAGCCUCAAUGGUCCUUGAAGAAACACUCAUCCUCAAGAUCAAGCCCCAACGGCUCCUUGAAGAAACUUCCAACAGUUCAUCCAAAAUCAAGCCUCGACGGUCCUUGGAUCAACAAAACUAGGGGUGGAAUUUUUUCCCGAAAAUCCCGAACCGUCCCGAUCCCGUCCCGAAAUUAACCCGAAAAAUUCCCUAACCGAAUUUCCGGAAACAUUCGGUUUAGGGUUUAGGGAAUCCCGAACCGAACCGAAUAUUAUAUAUAUAUAUAUUUAUUUAUUUUUAAUUUUUAAUUAGAAAUUACUUGAACCGUUGGAUUUGUUAAAAUCUAAUCCAACCGUCCAUAGUUAGGUCAUUUGUUUGUUAGGUUAUCAGACUCUCUCAGUCGCUCUCGCUCUCUCACUUCACUGGCUCACUCACACACACUCUCACUCUCACAGUCACUCUCACCACAGUCCCCCCGCUCCACUCCUCCGUCGAAUCCACGCCGCUCAUCAUCGUCCAUCACUCCAUUGACUCACGCUGCUCCACUCCUCCGUCGAAUCCAUGCCGGUCCUCGUCAUCCAUUGACUCACGCCGCUUCUCCAUGGACUGACGCUUCUCCAUCGACUCACACACUCGAAUCCGACACCAAUCGAGUCCCAAAAUCCAGGUUAGUAGGCCUAGAAGCUUUCCCAGUUGCAUGCAAUGCUUCAUCUCUGUGCCUCGAGAAAUUUCUUCACUGAUUAGCAUAACAAAUCUCACAGAGAGAGAGAAAGAGUGGGAGUGUGUAAGAGAGAGAGAGAGAAUGAGAAUGAAUCAAUUUCGAGCAUUCCUCCUAAUCAUCUUCUUGUUUUUCUUCGUCUUCAGUAUCUGUUUAGGGCUCUAUACGGACCAUCAUUGCCAGUUCUUCAGCUAACUCCUUCCAACUUCAAGUCCAAGGUAAAUGUUGAAACUUUACCAGUAAUUGGGUGUACCAUUUUCAGAUUCUUUAGUUUUUUGCAUUAAAUCUAUUGGAAUUUGUCACCGUUUGGAUUGAAAAGCAAUUGGGCUUCAAUUUCGAACACGUUUUACUCAUUCAUAUGGAUGUUAAGUUUUAAUUUGUUUUUACUUUCUCCGGUCCAUUUUUCAUUUGGCAUGCCCUGCUAUUUGGAUGCCCUGCCAUUUUUCAUUUUUCAAUCCGGCAAAUAUUUUCAUUUUUGCAUGCCCUGCUAUUUGGCAGCAAAUAUUUUUCUCUUUCCAUGCCCUGCAACGAUUGUGAAGACUUGGUUAGUGUGUGUGAUACUUAAUUUUGGCAAUUUGAUUUUGUAUUCAGGUCAGAUUUUAAAGCAGCUAUCAGAGAUAACUAGCAGGUAGGUUCUAACUUCUAAGUUUAAACAAGAGCUCAAUAACAAACAGGUCAGAUUUUGCACUCUGUCAAUAUAUGUAAUGUGAUAUAUAUAAUGUGGUAUAUAUGUGCACUCUCUGUCAAUAUAUGUAAUGUGAUAUAUAUAAUGCGGUAUAUAUGUGCACUCUCUGUCAAUAUAUGUAAUAUGAUAUAUAUGUGCACUUUGUGAUAUAUUGUUUGUAUUGAAAAAUAUUACAUCUCAAUGACUUGAUUUUAUUUAAGUGGAUGAAAAUAACCUAAUUGUAAAUAUAAGUAGUAGUGGCACAUAAACAUUGCACCAUAUUUGAAUGAUUAACAAACACUGGGGGAAGCAUCUGCCAUCUGGGAUUAAUUUCAAGGUCACAAAAUAUCCUGUAUAUUUCCCCACAAAUGAAUAACGAUGCCAGCUGAGUUUAUAUACACUUUUAUAUAUGUGCACUCUGUCAAUAUAUGUAAUCUGAUAUACAUGUGUUUAUGGAUUAAUUUAUGGAUCAGUUUAUGGAUCAGUUUAUUUAUGGAUUAGUAUAUGAAUAUUAUAUAUAUGUUGAACUGUGUUGUGAUAUAUUAUUGUGCAUUGUCAGGAUAAAGGAAAGGAACUAAAGGAAGAGGCCAUUCAUCAACAAGUGGAAGAGGCUGAAGGGGCUAAAGGAAAGGAACUACGUUUAUAAACUAUGUUUUGGUUGCAUGCACUUUCUUGCUUAUAAACUAUUUAACUAUGUUUUUCUUUUGGUUUGUAAUUUAAUCUAAAUUCAUUCGGAAGUUUGGUUUGUAAAACUUAACUUAUUUCAUUUUGGUUGCAUGCACUUUUAAUUAACUAGUUUGUUAGACAAUUGUGAACUUAAGCUUAACUUGUUAGUUGUUGCUUCCUUGGUAUGAAAAUUGAAACAGGUAUGGUAUUGUGAAUCUGUGAUAUUGUGAUGAAUUUGAAACAGGUGGGCUCUGCAGCCUGUGCUUGUGCGGGCAGUGGCUGGUUACAACUGCCAAUUGUAACCCUUUUUUUUUUUUUUUUUUUAUUUAUGAAAAAAGGGUGGGCUUUCCCUUUAAAGGGUGGGCUUACUCUUUAAAAGCCCAACAUUUUGGGCUUCAAAUUGUAAAAAGCUUAAAAUUGUAAAAAGUUAUAAAAGCCCAACAUUUUGGGCUUCAAGGCCCAAUCCCGAAGUUUCCCGAAAAUCCCGAAACACUUUCGGGAAUCCCGAAUUUCGGGAUUCCAAUAAUUUUGGUUCGGUUUCGGGAUAUAAAAUCCCAUCCCGAAAUGUUUUGGUUUGGGAAUCAGGUUCGGGGUUUCGGUUCGGGAUCCCGACCCGAACCAGCCCUAAAUGAAACAUCCACAAAUCAACACCUUACGGAGAUCGAAUCAGAGGAUCAAAAUAGAGAGAGAUUGUAACCCAAAAUCAUCAAAUACAAAUAUUAUUUUGUGCACGUUGUUCUUGUCUCUUUCGUUUCAGGGAAAUUUCGUUUUUACAAAUUAGCACGCCCAGUGGGACAAUCUCUACCUCUCAUCUCUUUCUCCGUUCAAGAAAUUCGAGCACACUUCCAAAAUUAAUGGCAUCAAGGAAGGCUCAAACUGUUCCCGCAACUGGCGCAAAGAAUAAGAGUGUCCUCGUCGCAAGUGGUGUCACUUUAGGCAUCACGACUCGAAGCAAGGCAAGAGCUACUUCUGCCGCCUCUUUCACCUCUGCAUCAACUCUGCAAAGGGAACAAGAGCACCCAAGGCACGAGCCUUUGAUCACCUUAGCCUCACCAAGGGCACCAAGGGGCGAAAGUCCAAGGAAAUACUCUGAAUCCAUGCUCUCCGAUGCCGAUUCGAGCGGCAGUUUAGCCAUGCAAGUCAUGACCAUUGGAGCAACUUCAAUCGAUGAGCAGUUGGCUCAAAUGAAUGAAGCAAUCGCAAGGCUAACCUGAACUGUGGAAGAAAAAGACUUGCAAAUCGCUGCACUCGUCAGCCGACUGGAGCCACAGGACGGCGAGAACCCUAACCUAGAAAAUGAGCCUACGGUGGAGAGAAUCGAUGCGAAGCCAGAGCCAGACCAAGCAGCGGCACUUAUGGGAUCUCUUUCUAUCCAACAGCUGCAAGAGAUGAUCACCAACACCAUCAAGACACAGUACGAAGGGAGCUCAAAUACCUCCGGGUUGUACUCGAAGCCGUAUUCAAAGAAGAUCGACGCCUUAAGGAUGCCGAGGGGUUAUCAACCGCCAAAGUUCAUGCAAUUUGAUGGAAAAGGAAACCCGAAACAACACGUUGCCCACUUUGUUGAAACUUGCAACAACGCAGGGACCGAAGGGGACUACCUCGUCAAGCAGUUUGUGCGCUCGUUGAAAGGAAACACCUUUGAGUGGUACACGGACCUAGAGCUUGAGUCCAUCAACAGCUGGGAGCAAUUGGAGCAGGAAUUCCUCAACCGCUUCUACAACACUCGCCGCACUGUGAGCAUGCUAGAGCUAACAAGCACAAAGCAAUGGAAAGAUGAGCCGGUAUUGACUACAUCAACAGAUGGCGCACUCUAAGCCUCGACUGCAAAGACAGGCUCUCGAAGACUUCUUCAAUCGAGAUGUGUGUCCAAGGUAUACAAUGGGGUUUGCAAUACAUCCUUCAAGGCAUUAAACCACGGACCUUCGAAGAGCUAGCCACCCGCGCCCAUGACAUGGAGUUAAGCAUCGCUCAUCAUGGGAAGAAAUAACCGAUCUCUGACUACAAGAUUGACAAAGUUCUUAAGACAAAGGUGGAGAAGGCUGCGUGUAAAUCCACCAAGGAAGCAAUGACGGUCAACACAACUCCCGUCAAAAUCCUUACACGAGGCAAGGCUAUUCAAACCGAAGCUUUUCAUGAUCAAGAGAUGCGUAGACGCAAUUUGAAGGAGCUUGAGGAGAAGACUUAUCCAUUCCUCGACUCUGAUGUGGUUGCCAUGCUGGAUGACUUGUUGGACAAGAAGGUGAUCGGUUUGCCUGAGUGCAAACGGCCGGAAGAGAUGAAUCGUACCGACAGUCUAAGAUACUGUAAAUUCCACCGCUUCAUCAGUCAUCCGACAGAAAAAUGCUUCGUGCUGAAAGAUCUCAUCAUGAAGCUGGCUCAGAAAGGAAUCAUCGAGCUAGAUCUUGACGAUGUUGUGAAGUCAAACUAUACCACCAUCACUUCUGGCUAUUCCAACUCAAGGUUUUUACCUCAACCGCUGGGGGCAUCCUCCAAGACAAGCAAAGUUAAAGGAUGGACUCAAGUCACUCCUAAAAAAUUGCACAAGAAGCAUACGUCUCCUCCACAAGUCCGCCAAUCGGAAAGGGGGCAAAGCAACUCUUGUCAACCUUCAAAGCAACAUGAACGUGUUGAAGAUGAUGAAAUUUCGACACAUAGAUCGUCUAUCCCCAUCACGAUGCGCGAUUUCUUUCCUGAAGACUUCUUCAAUCACUCUGUCAAGACUCCUUGCUAUGAAAAUUGCAAGGAAAGCCUCUCCAGGAUCGUUUAACAAAUUCACAAUGCUCCUUGUCCGCACGAGCCUAAACUGUAGGACACGAAGCUCCUCGCCUGCACGAGCCUAAACUGCAUGGCACAACGCUCCUUGUUCGCAUGAGCAUAAAAAGCGACAACAAAUGCUCCUGGUCUGCAUGAGCAUAAAAGGCGACAACCAACGCUCCUUGCCUGCACGAGCUAAAACUGCAAACGGCACCAAAUUCUCCUUGCCUGCACGAGUUAAAACUGCAAACGGCACAAAAAGAAAAUACCCAAAAAAAUAUGUAUGCAUUUGAACUACGUUAUGACUUGAUUUCUUCUUUGGAAGGGUACGUAGGCAACUCGAACGUUCAACUUCGAGUACAGUCAUGUCAAAACAAAAAAAAAUAAAUUAAUUAAUUAAUUAAGGUCUUAUUAAAUGCUUGACUAUUGAGAGUCAAUUUUAUUACAAAUUAAAAAAAACAAUAUUCUUUGUAUUAAAAAAAAAAAUAUAUAUAUAUAUAUAUAUAUGUAUGUAUACAUGAUAAAGUGGGUCUUCUUGCACUUAAGACCCGUGCCAAAUCAAAGAAACACAAGUUGGAGUCCACAGAAAGAAGCAGCCCAAAUCCAAGCCCAAGCCUUCCUCCAUUUCACAGAGUCCAUGCUAGAUGAAGCUUUUGAAAAUGGGUGUGCAGAGAGAUUCGAAGCUCGACCUCAUCACUCACAACCGCUUCCAUCCCUGCCUUCACUCUCGCACCCAUUCCAUCAAUCCGGUUUUCUUUCAAGUCGGCAUCGAGAUCCUUCGUAGUUCCCUUACUCAUCGCCCAGUCUCUCUGCCAUCUCCCGCAGCACCGCGAAGCCGCUCGUCGACCCAAGAGACGAUGGCUUCCGACUCAAAGUCUGCUUCAUACUCGACCUUCCUUUCAAUUUUCUUCAUCCCCUCCAUUGAAGAAGCAGCAGCCAUGCCGCUGCCAGAGGCGUUGAAGUCCAACGACGAUUUGGACUCUCCUGUGAUUUCGCACCUGUAAAACCUUUCAUGGAGCUCCGUCUCCCACCACAGUCGGGGCUUUGGAUCCAUAGUCUCCUUAGCCAACUCCAACCUCUCGCCAACUCCGGCCGCGAUCCGAAGUCGAUGAUCGUUCAGAUUCUCGAGCAAAAGGAGGGGCUAAGCAGUUUGUAUAAAGAAGCAAUGGAUGCAUCGAGGUUGCUGGUGGUUUAAAGGGUUUCAAACCAGAAGGUCCCCAUGGAUGGUUUUCUCAACAGAAGCAAUUCGAUGAUUCGGCAUCGUUUCUCUCAGCCCUUCGAAACCAUAAACCCAAACUCCACCUGCUACACAUGGUGUGCACGCCCAUGUUCAACAAUCUUGUCCCGCCGCUUUCAACGUAUCGCAAGAGUUUUACAACGCCACUCCCACCUAUGCUCUGACCUUGCAUGCUGCACUUGAUUGGCGUUAUGCACUUGCUCAUGCUGGUGCCGUACGACGUCGUCAACUCGCCAAAGACAUCGAAAUUUCGGUAAAUAAAUGUUGACCGAUAAAUCAAAGUUUCAACGCUCAUGUAUUACAUAAAUUUUACACGUAGCGUGUGUCUAAACAAAAAAUUGAGAAUCAUCGGAAAAGUCAUCAAACAUGACACAUGUCAACACCUGGCAGAAACGACUUAUUUCAUCUGGAAUAUUAUAUUCAAAAUUAGGCCUUGAAAAAUUCUAUAAAUAAAAGCCAAUUUCAUUCAUUUGAGGGGACCAAAAAAUCAUUAGGCAAAACUCUUGAAGCUUUGAAGCUCUGAAACUCCGAAGCUCUCAAGUAUCCAGGUUCCCGAAGAAUCAAGAAAGCUCUCUUCGUUCUUCGUUCUUCGUUCAUCGUUCAUCCUAAGAUCAAGCCCCAACGGCCCUUUGGAUCAACAAUCAUCCACCUAUUCAAGAUCAAGCCCCGACGGCCCUUGAAGAAAGUGUUCUUCGUUCUUCGUUCAUCCUUCUUCCAAGAUCAAGCCCCGACGGCCCUUGAAUCAACAAGCCACCGUUCUUCAGGAUCAAGCCCAAAAGCCCUUGAAGAUCCGUUCAUCACUGUUCUUCAAGAUCAAGCCCAAAAGCCCCUUGAAAGAUCCGUUCAUCACUGUUAUUCAAGAUCAAGCCCAAAAGCCCUUGAAGAUCCACUCAUCACCGUUAUUCAAGAUCAAGCCUCAACGACCCUUGAAGAAACACUCAUCCUCAAGAUCAACCCCCAACGGCUCCUUGAAGAAACUUCCAAUAGUUCAUCCAAAAUCAAGCCUCGACGGUCCUUGGAUCAACAAGCCACCGUUCUUCAAGAUCAAGCCCAAAAGCCUUUGAAGAUCCGUUCAUCAUUGUUCUUCAAGAUCAAGCCCAAAAGCCCCUUGAAAGAUCCGUUCAUCACUGUUAUUCAAGAUCAAGCCCAAAAGCCCUUGAAGAUCCACUCAUCACCGUUAUUUAAGAUCAAGCCUCAACGGCCCUUGAAGAAACACUCAUCCUCAAGAUCAAGCCCCAACGGCUCCUUGAAGAAACUUCUAACAGUUCAUCCAAAAUCAAGCCUCGAUGGUCCUUGGAUCAACGAAACAUCCACAAAUCAACACCUUACGGAGAUCGAAUCAGAGGAUCAAAAUAGAGAGAGAUUGUAACCCAAAAUCAUCAAAUACAAAUAUUAUUUUGUGCACGUUGUUCUUGUCGCUUUCGUUUUAGGAAAAUUUCGUGUUUACAGGCAUAUAUGCUUAAUGUGUUUUUAAAUUUUGGACUUGUUGGAUACUCUUUUUGCAUUUUAUCAUUCUUUUAUUAUCUUAUCCAUAGAUUUCAUACAAGUAUAAUUUUUUGUAAGUGUCAAUAUGCACUUAUUUACAAGAUAUACAAGAAAAUUACCUAAAUCCGCAUAGGCCGCCUAGCCGCCUAGGCGCUAGGCGCUAGCCCACAUCUCGACUAGCGCCUAGCGUUUUUUAGAAUCUUGAUAAAAAUUAACAAGUGUGUGUAGGAAGUAAAGUGGGAUGUGUGAAUUACAUUGGGAGAAAUUAGAUUCACAUCCUUCUUUUUGCUACUCCAUUGGUUAAAACAUUAUUCCUUUUUAAUUUUUAAUCAAGGUCUUUGGAUAUUAAUAAUAUCAUUAAUUAUUUCAAUAAUAAUUUUUUUAAAUAUAUUCCUUUAGUGUUAAAAAUGUUACAAUUAAUAUAUUUAUAUUUAUGGUUAAAAUUUUUAUCAUAUAUUUUUAUUUUUAGUUUGUAACCAGUUUUAAUUUGCAAACCUUUUUCAAUUUGUACCAAUUUUCUUUUCAGUUUCAAUUUGUACCCAUAUAUUAAUUUCUUUUUGUGCCCAUAUUUUUUAAUGCUUUAUUUGUAUUUGUGUCCAUUUGUUUACCAUCAUGUGACAUUGUAUAAUUAAUCAAUGAUAGAAAAAAAGGAAAAUUAAUGAAAAUGGUUUGAAAACUUUGAGUUUUAACGAUAAGGACAAAAUAAAGGGUAAAGCGAAUAAUAUCAUGAUUGACUUUUUAGUGAAAAAAUAUGGUUUUUCGUUAAAGUGAACAGUACCGGAAGCUUUUCGUUAAAGUUUCGUAGAAAAAAUUACAUAUGUUAUAUUUAUGUUUUAUGUUUUAUGACAUAACUAUUUGUAGACAGGCAUCAAUAUAAAAUUAUUCUGCAAUAUAAUUUCUAAAAAGUGAUAGAGACGAGUGUAAAGGGAACAAGUGCAUCGCAUUUCUUCUACAUGCGUAAGAAGAGAUGCUCUUGAUUAAUUGAUUCAUGAGUUAACUUUUGAAGUCGUCUUCAACUUUUGAAAUUGUGUGAAAUCAGAAGUUAGAAAAAUGAGCAGCACCGUACAAGAAACAAGGCUUGAUGACGCAGCACUAGUGUAGAAGGAUUAAAAAUAUAAAUCCUUGAAGAAACAAAGUUUUUGGAACCCACCAGUUUGAUAGAAACUCUAAAAAGAUAAUUUGAUUAAUUGAUGAGUUGGUGAUUACACACCCAUGACUUAAAUAAGUCAUUUACAACAUUUUUGGACAACUCAAAAGGCUUAGAGAAUUAAAACGAAAGUAAAUGACAUUAAUCCAACGACAAUUGAAAAGUCUGAAACUUAUUACAAACUUUAAUUUUUGGUUUUGGAAGCCUAAUUCCUCUUAAACACGACGGGCUCAUGAUAUCAUUCCUCUUGUUCUACUCGCGAUUCUCUUCAAAACGAUAUAUUAUAUGCCUAAUUAUGACACCGGAAUAUUUCUUGUUGUCGUUUAUGUCGUCAUAUUUAUUGAAUUCAAUAUUUUCCAAUUUUAUUUCUUCUUCUCUUGAAACAUUUUAUUUUAUUUAUAUUUCUUGAUAGGAAGUGACUCAUAUCUUGUCUUACAUCACUUGACUUGACCUCAACCAUUUGAUCUUCGACCUCAAGAUCCAGAAUAAUGGAGUGUGUAAAAAAUAAAUAAAUAAAGGGAAGAGAAAAAGAAGUACAAACCGGUUACAAAACUCUGCUAAAAUUGCUACAUAACGCAAAAUGACUACAUCUUAUCAAAAACUUAACACCAGCCAAGUUACAUGGUGUAUUUAUAAAGACCCAAUUCUUAACAAACAUGAAAGCAAUCGUAAACCCUCCUAAAUAAUAGGAAAGUAACCUAAGAUCAUGUGGCACAGAAGGAUUUGAGAGUAGUAUAGAUUGACUGAAUAGUACUCCUUUUCUUAAAGUCGACAAGACUGAACAAAUAAUGAAUGCAACCAAAUAUAGUAAUUAGGUUUUAAUUCGACCGGUGGAGUGGAUACUGGUCUAUGUGUGGAACUUGUGCUUUGUUUUUGGUCUAUGUUGAUUUUUUCAAACUGCAAGUUCUUUUCUCAUCAGAAAAGAAAUAUCUCAUUACUCAUCCCCAACUACAGAUGUCUCUAGGAAGUGUAGGUAUUCUUGUUGACGUCAAAUAGGAGAGAAACGGCAUUCACUAGUCUUACUUGGUUGAUAUGACUCUUCGACACUUGGUACACCCGAUUCUUCUACACUUAAUGGAUUUCUGUUUAAGAAGUUGAGGUUCCACCAUAAUAUCGUAGUAGUCACAUGCACUCCACGUCGCUCCGUUGUUUGUCCAUAUGUUAGGCUUGAAAUUUUUUCCGCAAAAAACAGAAGAAAAAAAAAGUUAAUUUUUGCAUAUAUGUAACACAUUUAUAGUUGAUCUCAUGAGUUCCUUCCGUAAGGGUUUAUGAUAUUUGUAUUGACACUCUUGUAAGGUUUUAUCAUAUUUAUAUGGCUAAUUGCAAGACUUAUCAACUUCACAUUUGGGUACUUCUAAAUGUGUUGGACCUUCAUGCUUGAAAUCUUGAUUCAAAAAUAUGUAAUUUGUAUUGGAAUGAAAAAUUAAACAAAAAAAAAAAAAACAAUGUUAAUGGGUGACUCAUGAGCUUAACAGGUUAAGUUUGGAUGACUUAUUAGCUUAACGAGUCGGGGAUGACUCAUUAGCUUAACGGGUCAGGUGAAACAUGACCUAAACCCAAUAAACCGAACCCGUUUACAGGUUACCAGUAGAUAGUAAAGGGGAUGAGAGUUUCAGACUCUCAGCAUCAAAUUAUUAGUCAUCAGUUUCAAUUCCUGCAUUGGCUUGAAGUGCAAUGGAUUUGAGGCCCGAAAUUUUUAUUCGAUACCCAAUUUCUUCAUCAUUUUAGGACUUUCAAACUCCUAACAUCUAUUAAGUCAAGAGUGCGGUGUAACGAAAUUUAUCAUGUUGGAUUUAGUCUAUGUUGCAUUUUUCAAACUACAAGUCCUUUUCUUGAGAAAAGGAAUAUCUCAUUAACUCAAGAGAAAGCAAGGAAGAGGAGAAAUACUUCGAGUUGGAGUUGAGGCUCCAAACAUAGGAAAACUGUAGAAAAACGUAUUUGACUCAAUUGUACUUUUCAUUCAUUCUCAAACUGUAGAAAAACGUAUUUACUCUUUUAUAUAAUGAGCCUAAUGCUGAAACGUUAAUGAAUCCAUGUAGAAGAUUUAAUAAGCCUAAUUGUUCAUUGAACCUAAUUAACUAACAUUCCCUCUCAAGUUAGAGAGUGAAGAUCCACAACUCCCAACUUCCGUAUCAUAAUCGAAAAUUUUAAAUUUCGUCAGGUAAAAGCUUAAGCAUUGAAAACUUACUUUUACCUGACGAAACGGUUUCGUCUAAAAUGGUGUUUUCUUGUAGUGAUAUCAAGUAACUCCAUAACAAUAAUCUUUUGAAUUUUUGCACUCUUAGCUAUGUAUGGAAGUACAAAGUGACACAACUAUUUAUAGACGGGUAAUGCUUGACAAAGGAAUACGUAUAGGGUGGACUAAUAUAUAUAAAAUAUAUAUGUGUGUGUCCAUAAAUUCCUUACCACAUCAACCUUGACCCAUUGGAAUCUAUAAAUUUGAAUCUAAAUUCCCAUGGCUAAACCAAAUUCUUUACAAACACUUAUCAGCUGCUAAUUAUUAAACUGACCAACUAUGAUUAGUGUGAUGAGCUGAAGGAUACAAAAUAUGUGUUAUAUAAUUAUGGUUGUUUAGUAAAACUAUAACACAGCUAAUGUUUCUCUCGCCUAUCUUUUCUCACAAUCUAAUAAGUGGACUAAAUGAUUUAAGCAGUUAGUGAAAGAACAUAUGUAGCUUGUAAUUUGACUAAUUUACCCAUGUUCGGAGAAAUUUCACAGGCCUUUGUAAGAUUUCACUUUAACAAAGAGAGCUCCAAUAACCUUCUAAAACAUUUAAGCAAAGCACAUAUCACAAAAAAUGAACCUGAAUGGGGAAGAUCAUCAUAAGCUAAUAUGGACCAUGUAUAAAAGAGAUAAAUAGGAAUUAAGGAUGUGUGAAUGGAUACCAAGCAACUAAAAAGCUUCUAAUGGGUCUUUUCCUUCAAAUAAUGAUUGAUAAGAAACAACCAUUCUUCAUGAGGAAGCAGGUAAUGUAUUGUGCACCCUAAUCUAUUGUCCUAACAACCAUAAUACAUAGAAAUUUGUGGUGCUCCACUGCACGUAUGCAGCAGGCUUUUAAGCAUAUCAAUAUUUGCAUAAGAAGAACCAACAAACAGAGAGACGAAACACCUAAAUUUAGAACGAUUGGUUUUAGGGUGGAAUUCUAAUUUUUUUCAUGGUACAGAGCAUGUCGUCCCACGUGUGAAGCCAAAUGGCCACACGCAUUUCACGUUAUCCUGUUGUGUGUUCACGUGUUAGGCUUGAAAAUUCACCACACAUGAAAGAGUGUGUUGAGAAUGAGUUCCACGUCAAUGAGAGGAGGGACCUUGCAUGAGCUUAUAGGAAAUUAAGUUAUUCCUCGUAUUACCAAUUGAUUUUAUAGUAAAACCUCACAUUUUUUUCAAAAUGAAAGCUUAACAAAAAAAAAAAAAGGGAUAAAAAACACCUAAAUUUACAGAGAUAAUUUAAAACAUGUAAAUAAGAAAUUGAAAAGUAAUCUGCAAUUUGGUUUCUUCAGAAGCAAUGAGAAAAAGAAAACGGGAGAAUGAGACCAACACAGAGAAGAAAACAUCCUUUUUACCCCUAAGUUGUGCGCGACGUCCUACUUCCUUCCCUUCUUCGUUUUGGCAGCCUUCCCCUUCAUUCCUUUCAUUCUUCGUAUUUUCUCCCCCGCGCUGUCUCACUUUCAGAGUCUGUAAGACUCACUCACGACUCAGCAGCUGUUCAGCCUGACUUGUGCCUCAUCUCAGCCUCACUCAGUCCUUCCUCGACGUCGACCACUCGCCCACCUCACACACCCUCGCGGCCCACAAGCUUCCUCUCGCCGUUUCGAGUCUCGACAGCCCACCGUGAUUCCUCGAUUCCAAAAGGUUAGUCUUUGUGCUGGAUUAAAAUUUGGAUCCACAACUAUAGUUGGUCUUUCUGCUGAUUAAAAUUUGGGUCACAACUGUGUUUUUUACGAUUAGGGAUUUGAAUUGGAAACCUUAUCUGUCAUUUCUGCUUUGACAGUUUUGUUUCUCUAUUUGUAAAUAUGAAUUCAUCACGCAAAAACACAAAAUGGUUUUGUUAUUUCCCAUUAAUUUUCUUGUUAAAAUAUGUCAAUAAUAUGAAGAGAGUUUUAAUGAAAAAUAUGUGGUACCGUUUACUUUAAUGAAAAAUUACAUUUUUACAUUAAAAAAUCAAAUAUAGAACUAUUCACUUUACCUUUUAUUUUGUUCUUAAUGUUAAAACUCAAAAUUUUCAAACCAUUUUUAUUAAUUUUCUUAAUAUGAAAGGUUUUGUUAUUCGCCAAUGUGGGACUUUCGCCUUCACCUCUUCACGUGUACCAAUCACUUGUUUUUUCCCCAUUAAUUUUCUUGUUAAAAUAUGUGAAUAAUUUUGAAAAAUGGUACAUAAAAGUACUCUUAUAAAGUUAUAAUAUCCUUCACAUGAAAAGGUUUUUUUGCAAGAAUAAAAGGUUUAUUGUCCUUUGCACGACAAAAGAGAAAUUAAGUCACAAUGAGCAAGAAAAUUAUUGAGAAGAAUAUAUAAGAUAGAUAUUUAUAUUAAUGAUAACAUUAUUAUUUCAUCAAUGAUGUAACACAAGUUUUAGGGCUAACAACUUUGAUGUUUUCUGUUUCUGCGCUUCAAGUCCACCAGCCCUUUUGCAUUUGUUGCCUAUUGCACAACUGAUGUAUUCAGUUUACAAGUUGUUCCUACAAAACCAGUUCCCUUGUAAUCAACGAUUCUCAUUCAUUCCCUCCGAUGAUUGGAACAAAAUGUAGUACAAAUUUCGUAGCUCUGGUUUUAGAAUUUUAGACAAUUCUUGCUAUAAACAUUACUCUUAAAUAAGUAUUCUUAGUUACUAAGGCAUAGGAAAGUUUCGAUUUCAUUUGAUUGAAAAGAUUGUCUCCAAUUAAUCGAAUGAAUAAGAAUCCUUUCAAAUGAACAUAGCUGCUUUCAUUCUAAUUUUAGAAAAUCCAAAUCCAUGAAAACAUGCAGCACUCUACUACCUUUAUUUACAUUACUUUCUAUCUCCAUUUAGUUGUUAAAGAAGCCCGACAGUACAAGCAAAUUGAUAUAACUUAAAAACAAUAUGAUAUAUAGGGCUGAGUCUUGAACUUGAACAACACAAUCAACUAAAAGCUAAAAAGCACCAAUACCUUCUAUCUUUUUUUCUUUAAAGAAACCUCGACGGUACGAGGGAAAAUUAUUUGAAUAAAAAAAAAAGUUACACCUAGUCUGGGGGACAUAAACCUUACCCUUCAAAAUAAAGAAACCGAAAGUACAAGAAAAUAGGAGGGACAUACACUUACAUAACCUGACACAAACUUAUAACUAAACAUAUAGAAAGUGAAGAAAAGAAACCACAACAGAGAAAACAAACGACAACAAGAAAUGCGUAACGGUAACAAACUGAAUUUCUACUUCCCCCACUAGUACUCUAAAUUUUCCUUAUCAUUUGCCUGAUCAUUCCAACAAUCUUAAGAAACAAGUCGGGCCUCCUUGUGAUCACAACAUCCGCAAGAACUACUCCCACUACCAACCCACUUCCACAUCCGGCCGAAACAAUUUUCCAAUCCAAUUCAAAUAUGCCUUCUGAGCUAGAAUCACCUUCGUCGAUGGUUGAAGGUGGAAGUUCAGGGGCCUUAGGAUCUCCACAUUUCUUUGGCAAUGGAUCUCCACACAACCCUGGGUUUCCCUCGUAUGAAGUGACAUUCAAAGAAGUAAGCUGGGUUCCUUGUGGUAUAGAACCUGUGAGAUUGUUGUGAGACACAUUGAAACUGGAAAGAAAAUUAAGUUGCACCAGCUGUUGGGGGAUACGUCCUGAGAGCUUGUUUUGUGAAAGGUCCAACGAUUCAAGCUUCAUCAAGUUUCCAAAGGAUGAUGGGAUAGAACCAGUGAGAAAGUUGUGGGAUAGAUUCAGCGAACGAAGCUCCUUAAGAUUCCCGAUGAAUUCUGGAAUUUUCCCUUCAAAUUUGUUGCAUGAGAUAUCGAAGGAUGCGAAUUCUUCUCGAAUCUUUGGGUAGUGUUGCUCCAAGCCUUUUGUUGCUAUAGUGAGUUGGUAAUCAACACUGUUAACAAUCGUGAAUCCAUUGACAUCAUAAACUACGUCUGUGUACAUAUAUGUUGACUUGUUUACAGUAAUAUCUGGAAACACAGAUGGAACCGCACCAGUAAAAUCAUUGUAAGCCAAAUCAAGAAUGCGUAACUUAGGGAAAUCGACAUUCUUUCUAGACUUUCCAAUCACACCGUGGAAUCCAUUAUGGCGCAUUGCCAAAAGUUUUAGCUCUAGAAGAGUCCCCAACCAAAUGGGGAAAACAUCAUUGAAUCGAUUGUUUGACAAAACAAGAUACUCAAGCAUUAUACAAUUGACCAAUGACCUCGGCAACUGCCCCUGCAACUUGUUAUGACUCACAUCAAUCAUUCUCAACUUGCUUCCUUUGUUGUAUGUCUGAGGAAUAAUUCCGUGAAAAGAGUUGUUUCCAAGAAGUAAAAGAAUCAGAUCAUCACUAAAGUUUCCGAGACAUUGAGGAAGCAUGCCACUCAAGUUAUUUUUCGACAAGUCAAGAUACUGAAGAUUUUUCACAUUGCAAAGCGACGGUGAGAUUUCUCCAGUAAAGUUGUUGUCUGCAGCUGCAUAUUCUCGCAUGGUUGGUGGAGGUAUCGGUAGUGAUCCAUGAAACAUGUUGGCCGAAAACCUUAUACAUAACAGUUUCACCCAAGGAAGGACAAGUGGAGGUUGGUCUGAAAUGAAGUUACUAGAAAUGUCUAACAAUAGCAAAGUUUCUAUGCUUGUGUUCCACAUCCAUUUUGGUACUUGGCCUCGGAUUUUGUUUCUAGAAAGGUCCAAACGCUCCAAACGUUUCUGAUAUUGUAAGAAAGAUGGAAACUCUCUUAUGUUGCAAAAACUCAAUCCUAGAAUGGUGAACUGCGGAACUGUUGAAUUCACAAUUCUCGAUUCAGUGACAAAAUCUAUACUGUUCCAAUUUAAUUGGAGUUGGUAAAGAAAUUGUAGAUUUUGAAACAUUUGAAACUCUACUACACCACUCAGACAAUUGGAAUGUAGAUAAAGGAUCUGAAGGUUUGUGAGAUUGGAAAAUGACGCAGGAAUUGAACCAUUCAGUUCAUUAAAAGCAAAAUCUAGGUACUCUAGUUUGCUAAAGUUGCCUAGCCAAGAUGGGAUUGGACCAGUUAAUCGAUUCAUAGUGCUACUAAUCCUAAAAGUAGCCAGUUGGGUAAGGUUUGCCAAGGAAUCAGGAAUUGGACCUCCAAAUCUGUUGUUUGAAAUGUCUAGAUAAGUGAGCUUCCUAAGAUUCCCAAGUGCAGAUGGAACCAACCCUUCCGAAAAAUUGCAUUGAGCCACAUCCAACUCUUGCAGUGAAUCAAGGUUUCCAAACGAAGAGGGUAUGUUCCCGAAAAACCUGGUAUAGGAAACUUUCAGAAGCAUGAGAGGACUACUUCGAUUAAAUUCAGGAAAAUAUCCAGUCAGAUCUUGGUUGUAUCUCACACUAAGAAAUUCUAGGUUUGGUAGUUGGAAAAUUCUCACAGGAAAUUCACCAAACAGGUGACAGUCUUUGAGGGAGAGGGAUGUCAAUGAUGAUAAAUUAGCCAUUGAAUGAGGAAUUGCCGAAGAUACAUUUACGAAACUGAGAGUAAGUACUUCGAGACUGGUUAAGUUUUGAACUAGGCUUCCAAGAUCUGAUGCUUCAAGUUUCAACAAGGGAUAAUUCUCCUCUUUUGACAACUGAUGAUCCUUAUCUUCUGACAAUCUAUCGAGAUUGAGAGCUAGAUUAAGGUAUGUCAACUUGGAUAACAGUGAAAGUUCAGAAGGGACUCGACCAGAAAAGACAGAGGUAGAGAGGUCAAGAUGAGUAAGGCUUGGAAAAUUCCUAAUGCUAGUAGGAAUUUGAGAGUAAUUGAAGUUAUUGUCAGAGAGGUUUAACCUUUGAAGAUGAACAAGGCGGAAGAGGCUGCUAUUGCUGUUGAUAGAGCCGUGGAGACAGCUGCUACGAAGAUCUAGGCCAAUCACAUGACCCGUCUUCUCAUCACACUUGACACCUUCCCAUAAGGAGCAGGUGCUAUUUCCUCCUUCAGCUGGUUUCCAUGAUGAGACCUUCGGAUAAGCAUCGGUAGAUCUAGAAGCAGAUUUGUCAAUCGUAAAGCUGUCUUUGAAUUGCAGCAGGGCGGACUUCUCCUCAUCAGGGCAAGAUGGAUACUGCUUCUGCGAAGAGUAGGAAGAGUUAGCAAUAACCACAUGAUGAAACAGCAACAAAACUAGUACUAGUUUUGAAACCAUGCGAAUGAUGGAGAUAUCAAGUAACCCCAUAACAACAAUCUUUUGAAUUUUUUUUGCACUCUUAGCUGUGUAUGAUGGAAGUGCAGAGUGAUAUACAACAAUUUAUAGACUGGCAUCGAUUAGUAUAAAAUUCUUCCACAAUAUAAUUUCUCAAAAGUGAUAGAGACGGGUGUAGAAGGGACAAGUUGAUAUGAUGCCUUGACUAAUUGAUGAGAAAAAUCAAAAGUUAGAAAAAUCAGCAACACCAUUCAAGAAACAAGUCGACUUGAUGAGAAAAAGAAAGGGGUGUGAUGUUCACACACCCUAUUUUACUUCUCACACACCCUUUUAAUUUUCUACCGUCAAAUUAGAUGAAUUGAAGAAGAUCAACGAACAAAAAUUAACAAGGGAUGUGUGAGAAGUAAUAUGGGAUGUGUGGAUAGCACACCCAAAAGAAAUACAAACCAAUCACAAACUUUGCCAAGAUGGUUACGAAAGGCAAAAAGAGUGCAUCGUACCAAACUUAACUCCAGCCAAGUUACAUGGUGUAUUUAUAAAGAUACAAUUCUUAACAAACAUGAAAGCAAUCGCAAACGAUCCUGAAUAAUAGGUAUUCUUGUCGACGUUGAGUAGGAGAGAAACGUCCUCCAACUUUGCAUUUGGAUAGUUCUAAAUGUGUUGGACCUUCAUGCUUGAAAUCUUGAUUAAAAUAUGUGUAAUUUGUAUUGGAAUGCAAAAUUAAACAAAACAAAAAAAAAUGUUAACGGAUGACUCAUGAGUUUAAUAGGUUGAGUUUGGGUAACUCAUUAGCUUAACGAGUCGGGUGUGGGUGACUCGUUAGCUUAAAGGGUCAGGUGAAACCCGUCUCAAACCCAAUAAACCCAACUCGUUUACAGGUUACCAGCAGAUAAUAAGGGGUAUGAAAGUUUCGGACUCUCAGCAGCAAAUUAAGGCAUUAGAGUCAUCAAAUUCAAUUCCUGCAUUGGCUUGAAGUGGGAUGGAUUUGAAGCCAAAACUUUUUAUUCAAUAUCCAAUUUCUUCAUCAUUAGGACUUUCAAACUCCUAGCAUUUAUUAAGUCAAGAGUGUGGGUGUAACGAAAUUUUUCAUGUUGGAUUUGAUCUAUGUUGCAUUUUUCAAACUGCAAGCCCUUUUGUCAUCAGAAAAGAAAUAUCUCAUUAACUCAAGAGAAGGCAAGAAGGGACUUCCACUUGGAGUUGAGGCCCCAACCAUAGGAAAACUAUAGAAAAACAUAUUUGGCUCAAUUCUACUUUUCAUUCAUUCUCAAAUGUACAAUAUAUAUAUAUAUAUAUAUAUAUAUAUAUAUAUAUAUAUAUAUAUAUAUAUAUAUAUAUAUAUAUAUAUAUAUAUAUAUAUAUAUUAAAUACAACUAUAUGGAUUAUUUACAAAUGCACGCCAUUUACUCUUGGGUGGUGCUAUCUAUACACCCAUUUUAACCUGUUACACAUCACUCUCAAUUUUUGGCCGUCAGAUCAUGUCAAUGGUAGAAGAUCAAUGUACAAAGAUUAACAAUGGUAUGUGGGAAGUAAAAUGAGUUGUGUAAAUAUCAUUACCCUUACUCUUUCAUACAAUUAGCGUAAUGCAGAAUAGUCAAUGAACCCAUGUAGAAGAUUUAAUGAGUUCAAUUGUUCAAUGAACCAAAUUAACUAACACUCCCCCUCAAGUUUUAAAUUAUGUCGAAUAAAAGUUUAAGUGCUCAAAACUUACUUUUACCUGACAAAAUGAUUUCAUCUCAAAAGGUGUUUUCUUAUAGUGAUAUCAAUUAACUCCAUGACAAUAAUCUUUUGAAUUUUUUAGUUUUGCACUCUUAGCUAUGUAUGGAGGUACACAGUGACAUAACUAUUUGUAGACUAGCAUCAAUAUAAAAUUAUUCCGCAAUAUAAUUUCUAAAAAGUGAUAGAGACGAGUGUAACGGGGAUAAUUGCAUCGCAUUUCUUCUACAUGCGUAAGAAGAGAUGCUCGUGACUAAUUGAUUCAUGAGUUAACUUUUGAAGUCGUCUUCAAUGUUUGAAAUGGCGUGAAAUCAGAAGUUAACAAAAUGAGCAGCACCAUACAAGAAACAAGGCUCGAUAACGCAGCACAAGAGUAGAAAGAUUACAAAUAUAAAUCCUUGAAGAACCAAAGUUUUUGAAACCCACCAGUUUGAUAGAAACUCUAGAGGAUAAUUUGAUUAAUUGAUCAGUUGAUGAUUACAAUGGAUAACACCCAUGAUUUAAAUAAGUCAUUUACAACACUUUUGGACAACUAAAAAGGUUUAGGGAAUUAAAACGAAAGUAAAUGACAAUAAUUGAACGACAAUUAAAAGUCCGAAACUUAUUACAAACUUUAUUUUUGCGGUUUUGGAAGCCUAAUUCCUCUUAAACACGACGGGCUCAUGAUAUCAUUCAUCUUGUUGUGCUCGAGAUUCUCUUCAAAACAACAUAUUAUACACCUAAUUAUGAAACUGGAUAUUUCUUGCUGCUUUUUCUAUCACCAUAUUUAUUAAAUCCAAUAUUUCCAACUUUAGUACUUGUUACACCUCACCCCCAAUUAUAUGUAUAAUUUCGUAAGUUCCCUAACAUUUUAAUGAAACUUCAUUUUGGUCCCCUAUUUUGAGUAAAUCUGGACCCUUUAAUGAAACUUCAUUUUGUACUUACCUAGUGGUCCUUUCCGCUACAGGACAUAGGGAUAGAUUCCGGUCCGUCCAGGACGACGGUUUGGUGUUGGCAUAGGGCCUGGAGCGUGUUUCCUCUGGCUAUUAGCACAAGGACGGAGAGCCGGCAUUGGACUUGAAGUGUAUUUUCCUCUGACUGUCUGCUUAGAGACGGAGAGCCGGCAUGGGGCCUGGAAGAGACAAUACUUCGACUUGAAGUUGAGGCCCCGACCAUGGGGAAACCUCCCCCAACUACAUAUGUCUCUAGGAAGUGUAGGUAUUGUUGUUGACAUCAAAUAGGAGAGAAACGCCAUCCAUUAGUCUUACUUGGUUGAUAUGACUCUUCGAUACUUGGUUGACACGAUUCUUCUACACUUAAUGGGUUUCUGUUGAAGAAGUUGAGGUUCCACCAUAAUAUCCCAAUGGCCACAUGCGCUCCACGUUGCCCCGUUGUUUGUUCACAUGUUAGGCUUGAAAAUGCUUCCGCAAAAAACAGAAAGAAAAAAAAAAGAGGUUAAUUUUUGCAUAUAUGUAACACAUUUAUAGUUGAUCUCAUGAGUUCCUUCCGUAAGGGUUUAUGAUAUUUGUAUUGACACUCUAGUAAGUAGACCUGGCAUUCGUGUCGUGUUUCUCGUGUUCGUGUCAUACCCGAUAGCUUAACGGGUUGUGUCAUGUAAUACCCGUUAAAGUAAACUGGUAAUAUAACCCGACCCAAAAUUAACCUGUUAAUAUUAUCGGGUAAUAUGACCCGACCCGUUACCCGUUAAGAAAAAUAUAUUUUAAAUCAAUAAAAAUGAAAAUGAAAAACAUAAUUUGACCAAAAAAAAUGUAAAACAUAGUACUAAAUUAGUAUAUACAUACUAAAUUUCGGAGUUGACCCAUUCGUGAAAGUUAUAAAGCUUUUCAUUACGAGUGAUUACAUUUUUCACACUUCUACAAUAAUUAUUAUUAAUUUUGCACUCAAAUAAAAAACAUUGUUCAUGAGAUUUGGAGGGUUUUAAAAAUCUAAACGACCAUGUUACCAUCGUCUAAGCGUUGAGGAUGCAAUUAGGAACAUUUAUUAUGCUUUCACAUCUUUCAGACUUAUACAUUAAUGAUUAUGAAUUUUGCUUAUUUUGAACCCCCUUAAAAAUAUUAUUCAUGAGAGUUUGUAUGGUUUUAAAAUUUCACACGAUCAUAUACCCAUCCUCAAAGCGUAGAGGAUGCGACUACGAGCGUUUGCAUAUUUUUUGCACAUGUAAAUUAAUUAUUAUAAUUUUUUUAAUGUGUUUGGUAUUUUUUUACUUGAUAUUUUUAUUUUUAAUGUGUUUUAUGAUUUUUAAUCUUAAUCUUUGCCUAUAAUAUACUAUAAAAAUAAAUAAAUAAAUAAAACUUCAAUUUUAAAAUUUAUAUUGAAUAAUAAUUAAUAAACAAUAUAUACAUAUUCAUUAUAUCUAUUGUAUUUUAUAGUAAGUUUUUUUUAGUAGUUUAAAAAAUUAAAAUCAUCAAAAUAACUUUUUUUCGUAUCGUGUCGAAACAGGUUAUCCGCGUGUCACUCUCGUGUAAACCUGUUAAGGACCCAUUAUUAACGGGUUAUUAUCAUGUGACCCGAUAAUGACCCAAUUAGUUAUCGUUUUGACCCGAAACCUGUUAUUUUCGUGUCAUUUACGUAUUGUGUUAACGGGUCGUGUAAGAAAUUGCUAGGUCUACUUGUAAGGUUUUAUCAUAUUUAUAUGGCUAAUUGCAAGACUUAUCAACUCUGCAUUUGGGUACUUCUAUAUGUGUUGGACCUACACGCUUGAAAUAUUGAUUCAAAAAUGUGUAAUUUGUAUUGGAAUGCAAAAUUAAACAAAAAAAAAACAAAUGUUAACGGGUGACUCAUGAGCUUAACAGGUUGAGUUUGGAUGACUCAUUAGCUUAACGAGUUAGGUGCGCGUGACUCAUUAGCUUAACGGGUCAGGUGAAACAUAACUCAAACCCAAUAAACUCAACUCGUUUACAGGUUACCAACAGAUAGUAAAGGGGAUGAAAGUUUCGUACUCGUACCAUCAAAUUAAAGCAUUAGACUCAUCAGUUUCAAUUCCUGCACUGGCUUGAAGUGGGAUGGAUUUAAGGCCCGAAACUUUUAUUCGAUACCCAAUUUCUUCUUCAUUUUAGGACUUUCAAACUCCUAACAUAUAUUAUGUCAAGAGUGCGGGUGUAGCGAAAUUUAUCAUGUUGGAUUUAGUCUAUGUUGCAUUUUUUAAACUGCAAGUUCUGUUCUCAUCAGAAAGUAAUAUCUCAUUAACUCAAGAGAAAGUAAGGAAGAGGGGAAAUACUUCGACUUGAAGUUGAGGCCCCAACCAAAGGAGAGAUUUUUCAGUAUGACCAGUAUACGGGGUGAUACACCAUGUGUCACUAUAUAAAUGGUGGGAUAUGUGUGCUAAAAAGUUAAUAACUUAAAAAAUAAAAUUUCACACCACUACUAUUAAAACACGUGGUGUACAACUUGUGUUCCUGUCAUAAUGAAAAUUUUCUCCAACCAUAAGAAAAUAGUAGAAAAACGUAUUUGGCUCAAUUUUACUUUUCAUUCAUUCUCAAAUGUACAAUAUAUAUAUAUAUAUAUAGUAAAUAAAAAUAUAUGGAUUAAUUAUAAAUACACACCAUUUACUCCUUUAUACAAUGAGCCUAAUGCAAAAACGUCAAUGAACCCAUGUAGAAGAUUUAAUGAGCCUAAUUGUUCAAUGAACCUAAUUAACUAACACUCCCUCUCAAUUUAGAGAGUGAAGAUCCCGAACUCCCAACUUGCAUUUCAUAGUCAAAUAUUUUAAAUUUCGGGUAAAAGCUUAAGCGCUGAAAACUUACUUUUACCUGAUGAAAUGGUUUCCUCUAAAAAGGUGUUUUCUUGUAGUGAUACCAAGUAACUCCAUAACAAUAAUCUUUUGAAUUUUUGCACUCUUAGCUAUCUAUGGAAGUACAAAGUGACACAACUAUUUAUAGACGAGUAAUGCUAUGGAGACUAAAUUUGUAGAUAAAGUUUUGAAAACUAAAGGACAUGGAAACUGAUGGUUGUUUUAUUACUUAAACGUUGAUAAACGUGCUUAUUCCUAUUGGAGACACGUCAUUUAUAUUGCAAAUUUAGUUUUCAAAUUUAAUCUCUCUAGCAUUACCCUUUAUAGAUUGGCAUCAAUAUAAAAUUAUUCCGCAAUAUAAUUUCUAAAAAGUGAUAGAGACAGGUGUAACAGGGACAAGUGCAUCGCAUUUCUUCUACAUGCGUAAGAAGAGAUGCUCUUGACUAAUUGAUACAUGAGUUAACUUUUGAAGUCAUCUUCAACUUUUGAAAUUGCGUGAAUCAGAAGUUAGAAAAAUGAGCAGCACCAUACAAGAACACAAGGCUUGAUGAUGCAACACAUUUUCAUACCAUUUUUUUUUUGGUUUUAGAAAUGCUAUUUAUACCAUAUUUUUGUACCAUAUUUUCAUACCACCUUAGGUGGCAUUUGAUGUGGAUAACCACAUCAUUUGAAUUAAUCAGAUUUUUAAAUUUAGUUCAUUCUUUAACAAACUAAUAAUUAAGAAAAACUAGUUAAUUAAAUAAUGAUUGUCGUAUUCCUCGUAUUUCUCCUUCCUUUCCUUGAGUUUUGCAAAUUUUUCAAAUGAUGUAGCUGUCCACAUCAAAUGCCACCUAAGGUGGUAUAGAAAUAUGGUACAAAAACAUGGUACGAAUAGCAUUACUCGGAUUAAAAAUAUAUAAAUCCUUGAAGAACCAAAGUUUUUGGAACCCACCAGUUUGAGAGACACUCUAAAGGUUAAUUUGAUUAAUUGAUGAGUUGAAGAUUACAAUCGAUGACAUCCAUGACUUAAAUAAGUCAUUUACAACACUUCUGGACAACUCAAAAGGCUUAGAGAAUUAAAACAAAAGUAAAUGGCAUUAAUCAGACGACAAUUGAAAAGUUCGAAACUUAUUACAAACUUUAUUUUUAAGUUUUGGAAGCUUAAUCCCUCUUAAACACGAUGGGCUCAUGAUAUCAUUCCUCUUGUUCUACUCGCGAUUCUCUUUAAAACGACAUAUUACAAGCCUAACUAUGACACCAGAAUAUUUCUUGCUGCCUUUUCUGUUGCCAUAUUUAUUUAAUCCAAUAUUUUCCAAUUUUAAUUCUUCUUCUCCUAAUUUGAAACAUUUUAUUUUAUUUAUAUUUCUUCAUACGAAGUGACUCAUAUCUUGCCUUACAUCACUUGACUUGACUUCAACCAUCUGAUCUUCGACCUCAAGAUCCAGACUAAUGGUUGGAGAGCAAGUGUGUAAAAAAUAAAUAAAUGAAAGGAAGAGAAAAAGAAGUACAAACUGAUUACAAAACUUUGCCAAAAUUGCUACACAACACAAAGUGACUACAUCAUACCAAACUUUACUCCAGCCAAGUUAAAUGAUGUAUUUAUAAAGAUCCAAUUCUUAACAAACAUGAAAGCAAUCGAAAACCCUCCUAAAUAAUACGAAAGUAAUCUAAGAUCAUGUGGCACAGAAGGAUUUAAGAGUACUGUAGAACCUUUUUUUUUUUUUUUUUUUUUUUUUUUUUUAAAGGAAGAGAAAGGUGAAGGAGCAACCCCGGGAUAGGGAGCCCAAAGUGGGCUGAAAAUCCAGCAGCACCCCUUCGGCUCCAGCACCCUAGUAUAACCUAUCCCCGUCUGGGCGCAAGCUACAAGGUUUUAAUUCGACCGGUGGAGUGGAUACUGGUCUAUGUGUGGAACUUGUGCUUUGGUUUUGGUCUAUGUUGAUUUUUUCAAACUGCAAGUUCUUUUCUCAUCAGAAAAGAAAUAUCACGGUAACUCAUUAACUCAAGGGAAAGCAAGGAAGAGGCCCCAACCAUGGGGAAACCUCCUCCAACUACAUAUGUCUCUAGGAAGUGUACAUAUUCUUGAACUUCGACCUUUAACAUUCGCAUAAUAGUUGGAUAAUAGUCGCUCUCAUGCUUGCCCCUAAAAUACUAUUGUUGAUCUAGUGCAGUUGCAAAUAUUUAAUUGUGUUUGGUUUUAUCUAUUUUGUAGGUACUCUGAGCUCAUAUAAGUAAACAUUUGUCCAAAGAAAGGUUGAUUAGCAGAUUGUAACUCAAGUAAUUAAUAACAUUCAUUCCAUCCAUCUCAAUAUCAAUGGUACAUAUAUAAAUAUAUAAAUAAAUAAAGUUGACCUGUUCCAUCUGAUCUUUGAUGGUAUGCAUCAUGUUCUGAAACAUACAGUACAGUCCAUUAAAAAUGAAGAUCAAUGGUUUGGAGAGCUCCAAGAUAUGUGGCCAAGUGUUAAAAACUCCAAAUUGACUAUCCUGUCUUCUAAAGUCACGUCAAGAAGUGUUGAUUUAGAGAGCUCCAAGAUUUGUGGCCAAGUGCUAAAAACUCCAAAUUGACUAGGCUAUCUUCCAAAGUCACGUUAAGAAGUCUUGAUCAUUAAUGACAUGCAACAACAUAUUAUUCGCAAUAAAUUUCCUUGACAAAUAUUGAAAAAUGGAAUCAUCAACAAUUCGGUUUUCCAUUGACAAAUAUUAAAAAAAUGUUGACUAAUGAAAAAAGUUGAGAAAGUUACGCAUCCAAUUCCUCGAACAAGCUUCUGGAACGUAGACUUCAGCAGUGAUAUCGUAUAGAGGUCGACAAGGUUGUCUAGGUCGGAUUACUUGACUUCAAUCUUCUGAUGCUUAUGCUUAUGUAGACACAAUAUUCUUGGUGUUGACUUUUAGGAUGCCUUAUGAUCUGGUCGAUACAUAUGGCGUUCUCUUCAUGGAUCAUUGUUAAGACUCAACGAUGGAUGAAAAUCGUAGUGACUUUAAAUAUGCUCAACAAGAGUUCUCGACCAUAUCUCACGUUAGAUACGGUGGGUUUUGGAACAACUCGAAGAUUUUGAAACUAAGGUCUAUCUAGUUGACCUCUAAGAUUUUGCAGUGUUCCUUAACAGUAAAGACAUAAACAUUUAGGAAUGUACCUUGUGCAGAUCAGAUAGAGAGUCUAACUCAGUGAAUCCCACAAGGUAUGCCUCAUUCCGAAGAUCAAUAAGGUGUGAUCUAUUCUGAGAUGCAUAGGAAUAGAGUAACCCCAAAUCUGUAUUAACGGAAAAAUGUCGAUAACACCAAUUUGGUGAUGGCGUGUAGGCAGUGCUGCUUUAUGUCAAAUGAUUAUUAGCACUUGAGAUGUCCGAUCUAGUGCUAUGAGCUAAGUACAAUAAACGCUAAUUGCACUCAAAUAUGGCGUCGCAUGUCUUGAUAUGGAACCUUAUGUAAUAUCAUUAGAACUAUACUCGAAACUUCUGGUCAAGGUAGUGUAGAGUUUUCCCAAGAUUAUUCAUCUCAAAGUCCGACUUUAGGUGCGAGUCAGUUUUCUGCAACUCUAACAAUUUUGGAUUAUGUACACAUAAUGACAUUAUCCCUAACUGAUCAAUUAUUCAUUAAGAUGGGUAUACCACAUCUGCCCAAAUUGUUCUGCAUCCGUAAAGUGAAAGCCUCAUCUAAACCCAGAGGGUGUUCUGUGGUCUAGAACUAUUUGAAUAAAUACAUGUAAGUUCUUCAGAAACUUCCAUGUAUAUUUCGUAUCAUGAUCCCAUAAGGUAGCUUUUUAUUGCACUAUUUCAUUCAUCUCAUUCGACGUUGAUUGUUUAUUUCUAAUUGACCAAUCAGUUCUACGUUGUUAGUAAUCAACAGAACGCAAUUCGAUAUCGUCACUUUUCCUUUAUGUCUGUAGCUACCAUAUAACUGAAACAUCAUCCAUGAUAAUCUCAUUCCAAUUCCAUAUGUCAUCCAAACUAGUAUAUUGGAUUAAGAUGUCACGUCUCGAUCCCAACAUACGUCGAGAAUCCACACGUGAGCAGGAAAAUAACGUUCGUUGAAUACGGUAUAAGUUACGGAAUGAAAUACUUUAACUGAUAACCCAAAAUAAUGUGAAGGUGGCUAAAUUCUCCACAAAAUAUUUACAAAUAUUUACAUCCCAAAAAGAAGCAUAAUCUUUGCUUUACUAAGAACAAGUAUGAGGUGCUCAAAAGAAAGUCCCAAAAGAUAAAGUACAAGAGUGAAUCAAGGGUAACCUAACGCUCCAAGUCUCUGAUAACUGCACUGCUACCCCCACCUACAAACUUCUUAGAGUCUACUUAAACCUGUCACUUGUACGAUCAGUGCCUACACCAUCGAAAUGGUGCACCAGGCAAACAACAACCUGGAUAAGUUGUGAAGCUUAUGAGAGUGACAAUAAUAUCAAGUAUGUGAGAAUAAUGCUAAUGCCAACCAUCAAACACAGUUUACAUAUCUUGAAUAUAAAUCAUUCAUAAGAAAUCAAUACCAACUUUUGUAAACCCCGAAGGAGUCACCCAGACAUCCAACGGUUCGUCUGAAACCAAUCACAACAUCUCACAACCAUCUUCUCAUACAACACAAUGAAAAGUAGAGUUAGAGCGACACAGUUUGGCCGAAGCCUACACCUUUGAAGAUAUCUCAAUUCAAAUUCAAUAAAUCCCAAGGUGAGUACGAUCCCGGACCUUCACUCAACGAAAUCGUGAAAUAUGAGGGAUUCCGGACAAUCUCUCAACGGAAUCCAAGUGGAUACAAUUUCGGACCCUCACUCAACGGAAUCGCUAAGUACGAUACAUAACAAUAACUAAAUGAAACCCAAAUUAGAUACGAUUCUGGAACAUCACUCAACGGAAUCAUGAAAUAAAAGGGAUUCCGGACCAUCUCUCAACGGAAUCCGAGUGGAUACGAUUCCGAACCAUCACUCAACGGAAUCGCAGAAGACCAACAACCAGAAUGUACGACGGCUCAAAGAAAUGAGACAAGCACAUGCUACUUAAUUUACAAAAACUCAACAAAGGGAGAUUAGGCACAAUUACUAAAUUUAGAACCAAUCACCACAGCGGAAGGUGAAACAAUAUCGAAGCAACAAAUCCCCAUCAUAAUGGUUAACGGUCCAUUACUAGUCCUCACAUUAAUCUCAACAUGCCAAUCAUACAAAUCAAACCACAUUUCCAAUAUACAUGCCACACCCUAUUUCAUAAACAUAAAUUGAUGUCGAAGUAUUGGAAUAACAAUUCAAUAGAACAUAUUCAUAAAACCAAUUCAUAUCCACACAUGAUCAUAAUUAUGACAACCUGAUAAUUACCAAUAUCACAUAUAUUAAAGUCACUUACCUGGAGUCCGUGCUAAUGUACCCUAGCACGAUAGUCAAUGCAUCACGUUCUAUCACCGCCUAACAAAGCACAAGUCCACAUUUAGAUUUCCUUCGAUAAUUCACAUACUCAAAAAUUCUCAUAUGUCUCCCACAACAACAUUUAAUGAGGAAUCAAACCGUCGUUCUAAUGUAGGGUCCAUGAUCUUACGUCAUUUGCUUCGUAAAAUCCAAUCACUAGAUUUUCACUUAUAAGUCCCUAAGGUCCUUAAACAAUAUCUACAAUAGCAUACUAAAAUUUGGUGUCGAUUCAGUGAUAAGAUCGUCAAUUGUUAGAAUAAUCAAGUGGCAGACCUUAUCGAUAAUAUAUACAAUCAAUAGCAUUUUCAUAAAUCGAAUGUCACACACCGGAAAAUUUGAUUUUCUCCAAAAAUUCUCAAAUUUUAUAGGAAUAAAGAUUUCAACAAGUAGAGUAAACUUUAUACCUGUGGCUGAGUCCAAUUUGGCCUGGAAGGCCCUCAAAUUGGCUCGCACCCAACAAACCCUAAGGUAGGUGUUCUUCAAUUGGCUCCCUUGGUGUUCCAACGUCCCAACCACCAGUUGGGUCUUGUUCCUGGGUCCAAGGGAAGUUGAUCAAGGGUGAUGGUUAAUGGUGAUACUAUUCGGAACGACAAUUCGUCGUCGAAAACCCCUGGGUUCUUCGAUGGAGUUCUACCCGAAUUAGACCUUAAAAUCCUUGAUUUUAUUUGGUGGAGAUGGAAGGAAGAAGAUAGUUGAGCAAGUUGCAAGUGAAGGAGAUAGGAAAAUCAACUGGGAAAUGGAGGAAUUGGCCUGAAAUUGGCCUGUUUGAAUUUGGCUGGUGGACCUCACGAUUUCAUGAAAUAGGGAGGAAGAAAGUGGCCUUUCCUUUUUCUUUUCCAAAUGGGUCCUUUCAUACCCUUUAAAAAUCUGAUAGGUCCCCACUUUUCUAUUUUUUUUCUUUACUAACUUAACCUUUAACCCAUGCUUCCCACAAUCUAUAGUUCACAACUUCAAACGUUCGUAACUAUACCGUUAUAAUUCAGACUCGCAAACGGCUUUCGCCUAUGCGUUCGUGGAUUCAAGAUCUAUUUAAAAACACUAGUUGUAACUUUGAAAUAUCAACGAAAGAUAAAGAUUGAUUAUGAAACUUCCAACUUGACAACUAAUCAAUUACUAAACUUAUAAUUAGUGGAAUUAAAAUUAACUAAUAAAGAUAAUGUAAUCGCAAAAUACGAAUUUAAAUUACGAAACACGAAAUAAAUGGUGAAAUUCUGGGGAUGGGAUUUCACAUAAGAACUUCAGGUUUUGGGUGUAAUCCGGAUUUAAUCUCAUGAGAUGUUGAGGGAGAGAUUCAUUUGUGCAUGUUCCUCCACUUUUAGGGAGGUGCAUCCUUCAACAUCUAAAACUUAGAAAUACAAGAUUGAUAGGUUUUGAGAAGAAGAAUUUUACCUCCGAACGCUCAGCCCAAGGAGAAUAAAGAUGCAUAGGUCAUGCUAGAGGUGAAGAAAGCUCGGUUUAAGAAGUCCCUUCAAGUUUGGAAGCCUGUUUUGGAAAGCAACAAAAACUAGCUAAGUGCAAGAGGGGUGAACUUCAUAUAAUACUCAAAGUUCAAAAAAGGUUACCUUCAACUCCUCCAGAAUCUUGGCUAUGACCUCUUUGUCACUUUGCUGCCCUUCUACACCUACCUGUAUCUUCUGAGGGGAAGGAUCAAGCUUCUUGCUGAUAAUAGGUCCUAGUUACAAGAAAUGAUAAGAUUAGCUCAAAGAAUCAAAGAAAUGGACUGAGAUUGCUUGUCUAAAUCCCAGCUGUCUACCACAGAAGUUGGGGUGGUAAACCUUCAUCCUACUUUCACAGCCCACUCAGUCGCUCCGUACUCCCUAAGUCAAAUCCCUCUACCAGAUGAAGCAAACGAAUUUCUCCUUGCAGAAGCUGUUGGCAUCCUCCCCAAAUGAAUCCUAGAAGAAGUUGUCCGAGAACUAAGGGUAUAUCUUGAGUACUGAAGCACCUUCCAGAUCAGUCCGAGUCUUACAAAUUCUAAAGAAAUAAAGGCAAGCUAAGGUAAAGUGAUUGGUGGUGGGAGCCUCUGCCAGAAUUUGAGCUGAAGCUACUCCCUCUGGAAACUCUAGGUUAGCAGACCGAAACUCCGAGAAGUACCAUUGAAGCGAGAGCUUCACCAUCCAGGUAGCUUCGUUGACAUUAGUCUUGAAUGGCUGGUCCCUUGUCAUCUCAUAAAGAAGAUGAUAGAGAUGUGCCAGAAAAUGACCGAUGGCAACAUUAUCGAAGGAAUACAGCGCCUCCACCAAAGGGAUCCAUUCCAACUUCACUCUUUUAGAUUUGUUUGGGAACACAUGUUUAUUCAACCAAUAGAGGAGAAAGUACAUGUGCUCCUAAGCUGGAUCAGAGGUGGGAGAAGGCUGGUUGAACAUCUUCUUGGCAAAAGGAAUGAAGCCCGCGAAAGAAGUCGCAUAGCUCUUGAAGGUAGUGAGGUUAUACUCCAAGCUAGUGAUCGACUGAGAAGCCUCUAAACCUUCAGCAGCAGGGCAUGAGGGUGAAGACCAAUAAUAUGUAAUGUCUACACACUUGCCUGAUGGCCUCAAACCAAAGACCUGAGCCAUAUCCAGAAUGGUGAGAGUUAAGGGGCCCACUCUGAAAUUAAAGGUAUUAGUCCCUGUGUUCCAGAAUAGAAGAGCUGUUGAGAUAAGCUCAUUCUUCCUCGAAGAAAAUGGACAGGUUGAGGCCAGCCUAAGGGCAAUGAAUGCCGUUGACCUGAGGGCAAUGAAGGUCGUUGAGCCGACGGGAGUCAUUGUUGAAUUCAAGAGAAAUGAGUGAAAGAGUGACUGGAAAUUGAGGUAAGAGAAGGCUGAGAAUGCAAGAGAUUUGGGAGCUUAGGGAGUCAAGUUUGCUGAAUGAGGUGGCCGAGAAAAGUGAAAUGGAAGUUAUUUAACGGGCAAGUAGUUAACUUUGAAAAUCAUGGGUUAGUGCAAAGAUUUGUUUGAAACGGCUAAUUAAGUGGUGCUAAUACCCAGUUCCGGCAAGCAAUUAAUUUUAAUCAUUAUCAAUGUCUUGAUUAGCAGACUUAACAAUAAUUAAAAGGGGCACUGUUUGAGUAGACAUUUAAUGCUGGGCUUAGUGAGAGUGGAGGCCCAAGAACACAAAAAGCAAGGGGAGGAUUAGGCUCGAACAAAUCGACAGCCCAGGAAGAAUUGAAAAUCAUUUUUGCCAAAAGUACUUUUCGUGGGAAUGGAUAGGUAAAUAAAUGGUGACUCACCAUGUUCCGGAGGCCAUCACCAAAAGUUAAGGCUUAGACAUUAGGGCUAAAGAGUCUAUAAAAGCAGCAAGGAACACAAGGGAUAGUGACACUCAACCAAUCAAUCAAAAGACAUCCAACUUUGCUCUUAGACAAGCAAGAAACCAGAAAGCUUUAGUUUGUCCAGACUCUACUCUUUUAGUCAUAGAUCCACCAUAGAAAGCCAUCUUUUGUCAAGUUUUAGAAGCUCUGCUACUUUUUCCCAGUAUUGUAGUAUCUAAUCCCUUUAGUAAACCCGAUUUACAUCUCAUUCUCUCAAGAUUACAACCCCUGUAAAACACAAAGAGAAGUGGUUGUAAGAAAAUGAACCUUGCCAGGCAAGGUUAUAAGCUUGCCCGAAUCUCUUUCGUUUGUACUUACAUAAAGUAUAUUUGUUGUUUAAUAUAUCUUCCAUUGUGUCUUAAAUCAUUUUGAACUGCUUUUCGUUCAAAGUUUCAUCUAUGAUUAAUUUGGCUACACUAAUUAACCUUGCUUCUUUAGUGUUAACUGUAAUCAAAGAAAUGGUUGGAAGGGUCCUGAACUCCAUUUAUCUGGACAUAUAAUAUUAUAAGUAAAAGUUCUUGUUUAAAAGGCAAGAAAAAGAAUUAUAUACAGACUUAACCCAUUUGUAACAAUCCAAUAGAAUUAAGAAGUUUAAGUAACUUAUGGCGCAAGUAAUCAACCCAUUUCAUAACCAAAAAAAAGAACAAUCUGUUAUACAAAGAUACGUUCAUAUCCAUAUUAGUUUUGAUUGUGAGCCUCAAAGUCUAACGAAUGCCCCACAAAGGCACCAUUUAAACUAAUUGCAAACUCAUAUUGCAGCACACCAAGCAGCAAACCUUAGCCGACAAGCAAGACCCCUGGAAGUUAUGCGAGGGACAUAUCUAGCCCAAACAAGUGUGACACUAGUUUAGCUGCACCAAGCCAGUGGGAUCUUGUUUCCGACAAGCGGAUGACGGAGGAGGAACAGCCGCUUCAGGUGGCAAGAUGUACUAAGGUAAUCAAUCCAAAUUCUGAAGUGCUAAAUUCAUUCCUUGAUGCAAUGAACAAAGUCGUUAUGGGGAACAAGAAGUUUAGUGCAAUGCCUAAACAUAUGGUUUACAAUUUAUAUUUGACUAUAGAACUUCAUGUACAUUAGAACCUCGAUAAUUUAAAAUAUCCGAUAAAACAAUAAGGCUGAUUAAAUAAUAUUUUUGGAUGGUUCAAACUUGGAGAUAAUGUGCUAAAUUAAUAAUUCGCUAAAUAUCAAAGAGAAUAUAUAAUGAAAAUUUUAUAUAAGUCCCACGUCAUAUAUAAAUUAAUGAUUUCUUGAUUUCUUUACACCUUUGAGAUUAGAAACCAUUGUUCUAUGUAUGAUGUGUUACUAUGACUUAUGGGAGAAAUAAGAAAGCUCAUGAAUUGUACUUCCUUAAACAAAUGUAUAGAAUUGUUAAUUCGUAAAUCAAGAAACUAAAUAAAAUGUACAAUAUUUGAGUAAAUAAGAAGGAAUAUUAUAUGAUUGAUAAAUUAAUAAUUUUUUUAAUUUGUCAAUUAUUUAACAUUUGCUAAAGUAAUAGAUUUUCUUUGGUCCCAAGGUUACUAAUUUAUGGAGGUUUAACUGUAUGUUUUUGUUACGACAGUUUCAAUUUUGUUUGUUUAUCUAUGUUUUUUUUGUUAUUUAGUUUCUAUUCUUUCUGUUAAAUGAUUUGUGAGCCUAUUACAAAAACACGAAAAGAAAAAAUGAUUUGUGUGCCUAGCGUAAAUUUCAAAAUGAUGACGUAAAUGUAACACUCACUAAAAUAACGAACAAUUUUCAUACGAUUCCAUAUCCAUCCACCCUUCUAAAAUACACAAAAAAUAUACAGACCUCCACCACAAGGUACUGAAAAAUCUCAACCAAGGUUGGAGUAUAAUCAUGUGAACUAUUAUAAUUCUUUACUUUUUUGGGACAAACAAUAGAGUAGUGUACGUACACUAAACUCACUUAAAUUACAGGGAAGGAGAUUGAAAUACGAGACCUCGAGUGCAAGGACGAAUGUUCUUAACCAAGUCAGCCACAAGCCACUUACAAUCUAUAAUAAUUAUUUUCAAUUUCAUAUUUUUAGCAAAGCAAAGUAAUUUGGAUUGCUUUGAAUGUUUUACUCAGAUCAAAAAUUUACAAAUUUUGAACGCCGCAUUGCAUUUAUAAAUUUAUUAACCAUAGCUAGCAUUGUUGGAAAUGCUUUAAAAAAUGGGUGUUUAAAAAUUAUUUCCUCAAGGUAUGCUUUAACGGCGUUUAAUCGGUUUCAGUGAUUGCAUUCGAGUGCUACAGAGCAAGCGUAAUACUACGUAUAACAUUAAAGAAAGAAGUAGAGCCCUAGUAUCUGAAUAUCCAUCCAUAAAGCAUGUUAUAGCCGCACCAACAAAUGUUGUUUCAUUAUUCAUUCAUGUCAACUCAAUUGGAAUAGCAAGGGAUUUAAGACGAGCUAAACUAAAAAUGAACUAUGCGCAGAAAGCGAAAAAUAAGAAUGUUUAUUACCAGAGACAUUGUGGUCUCCGAAAAGGAGAUAUCAACAGACCUGGGAAAGAAGGCAACUUGAACUUGCCUAAAUAAUCGUCGUCUCCAACUCUCAACUCUUAUAUAUAGGAUGCCGUCUCCUGCAAUUCCAAGUCAAACAGUGGAACGAAGGGAAAUCAUAUUGAUCACUCGAACCAAAGGUACAAAUAUCACCGAUAAUAGUUUCGGCAGCCAUGUAUUUGCAAAUAAAAAUCAUAACUAAGAAAAUGAGGUGGUUAUAUUACCUCUUUGGUCGACUACGGUCUUCCUCAUAGUCCAUCACUCCUCCAGGUUCGGAGUAGAUCUCCUCAUGCCCCCGGAAGUCAACGUCGGCCUGCUUACAGUGGGGAACUUCUGCCACAAUGUAAGUAAAGACACAUCGACCAACAUAUCCCAAUAACUAAACAAAAGAUUAAUAAAAAAUUAUGUGUUUCGUGUGUGGAGUGGGACUAAAGAACUCGUUCAUCUAUGAUUAUGUAUAGCUUCAGAAUAGCUCAUCAAAAAGGCGCUGAUGUGCACAUUUGUGGCAGAGAAAUACAUCAACGAAAAUAAAAUCAUAAUAUCGUGUUUUACCAUCCCAUGCCAUAUGUUCAAAUCAUCAAAAUGGAUCCCGUUCACUUUAUUAGGAAGGAUUACUUGCAGAAGCAAUACAAAAAAUACAACAGGAUUAAACUGACCUUGAUGGAAAUCGACUUCUUUACUUCUUCCACCCUAUUUCCAACUUCUUUCUUGUGUUCCUUGGCCACUUCAGUCAUAGUAUCAGCCCACUUCAUCUUUUCUUGAAUUGAGAUAAGAAGAUUGCUUGAGGUAUCCAACCUACGUUUUCAUUCACACAAAAUUUAGGCAAUACCAUCAGAUUUAUAUCUCAAAAAGAAACUUGAGAAGUCAUUAACUUAGAAGCAAAAUAUCACAAAGUCAGCAUACUGGAUAAAACACGAGAAUGCAUUACUACGAAAAACAUGGAACCACUUUUUUUAAUGUGGAGAUAGUUAAUAAACUCUACCACAUGAAACAAUUUCAUUAAAUUGGUAAUAGAUGCUCCAUAGCAUUUGAUUGCACACAACUAAGAGUCAGGAAACUUUUAUGCAAUCAAGGUCAGACAUGAAUGUUUUCAGAUCAUAAUGCACAUAUUUAGGACCAAAUUCUAAAUAAGAAGUUCCAUCUAUGCAUACUGAACAUACAACCCAACAGAGAAACUGCAUCAGAGACGUUACCAGUUUGACAGUGUUUGAAUCAUACUCCCAAGUUGUCCAGGUCUCGGAUCUCUCCCUGCAGCAAACUGGAGCUGCAUUUUACAAGAAAUAAUUGAUUCGAUAUUUCUUAUAAGGAAAUAAACAAAGAGCAACGAGAAAAGGCAAGCGAAAACAAGUAAAACAACACAAAAAUUAAAAAUAAUUUGAAGCAAAGGCAGCAGUAAUAAACACAAACCUCAAAGCAUUUUUGCAGCUGGUCCAGCUUUCCUCUUAUUAUGCCCUAAGAGAAAACAUGACAUCUCCUUCAUGUUUUCUCUAUCCACUUAACUAUGUUACACAGAUACAAAUACAUGAUAAAUUACUAUAUAACAAGGUUGGGAUAAUAAAAUAGUAUAUAUCACAUUACACAUAUAUGUGCAAAAGUAAUCUACGUAAGAGAGUCAGAAGUGAGUUGUAAUUUAAAAGUACCAAUACAUUUUUAAGGAAAAGAUUCACACAAAAAAAUACCCUUGUGCAUCUGGAUGCGUAUGUACACAACACAUGUCGCACUAUAUCCAAAAUGUCAAUGAAUACUGCAAAUCUGUAUCUGAUAACUGUUGGGGUGUUAUCGGGGGUGGGGGGGGGUGUUGGGAAUCAGGGCCAUAUCCUUACAGGAUACUCACCUGCAAUAUUUGGAAUAUCGCUUCAUAGACCAAACUAACAGUAACAAUUUUCAGGUACUGUCCAAUAUUCAAAAAUAAAUUCUUACACGGGCAAGAACCGAGUCCUGCGGCCCAUGCAGAGUAAAAUUGGCGGACAGAUGGACGGGAGAAGAGUGUUUAUUUGUACUGUAUUUGAAUAACAAUUCGUUAAAGUUAUGAUUAUUCAUUCCACAACCUUCACUAAAGAAACCUUUUUGUCCAGUAAAAGAUGCAUAUUUCAAUGUAACUAGGAAAAAAUAGAGGUAGAGGGAUGAAAGAAUUAUUACCGCAUACAUGCACUCAUUAAUGAGAAAAUCCUCGAGCUCUUGUACAUUGAUAACAUCUAACUCCUGCAUAAGUUGAUGAUACGGUAGUACCUGGAAAAUAAUUCAAGAAUAUAAGAGAAAACUGAAUGCACAACACAAUAUGGGACAUCUGUGUAUAUAAAAACCGGAUAUCAACACAAUAGUGACCUAGACACCUAAUACAGGAUAUGAUGAAUCACUACUUUACAAAUACUUAAAAAGGUUCUAGAAGACUCUCUCCAUGGUCUUUUAGCACAACAAUCUCAUAAUAUGUUCAAUCAAAGGCAUCAGAUACUAAGACCUGUAAGUCCACUAUUGUUCUGAAUUUUGAUUGGAACUAAUAAGCUUCUGGCAUUCCAUAUAACUUUUCAUAUCAUCGUUUGCAGUAAAAGGCACCAUCAUCUAUUACAUUCAGAAUUCAAUUGGUAACUGCAGUCUUUCCUCCAAGUGCAACUAAAACAAAUAUCUGUCCAUAAAACUUGUCUAAAAGUGAUGAUAAUUUUUCCUCUCCUUUCAUUUUUGAUGACAUAUUUUCUGAAGCAUGGAAGACAUCAAGUACCAAAGGUGACAAGCUCCAUAUAUUCACAUUGAAAAACCAUACAGCCAUAACCAUUACUAUGCAAUCAGAGAUGUAUAUCACCAACAACUUUUCAAAGGAUUACGCAUUUAAGGAAACAUACCUUGUUUGUCUCAGCCAGUGUAAGAACAGUAAGCUGUUUCAGCUUUAAGACUUGAUCAGGGACCAAAUGUGGAAGACGACUGGCAUCACCUACAAUACAUUUCAGUUUCUUAAAUUCCAUAACAAUGCCAAAGGGAUGCUUAAUUUCUUUUUUCAUGGAAAAUAUACUCAGAAAUUUUAUGGGAAGUAGUUCUCCUGGGAAUUGACAAUAUCUCCCGAAUUUCAAAAAUGAUUGAAGUAAGGAAAAGCUUAAAUGUUAUGGAGGGAAUAAUAAAGGACAUAGUAGUAGAAUUUAAUAAAAGAUACGGCAGUUGCUUUAAAACAAAUGUGCCAGUUUACACUUCUUCUAACGAAAAUAUGUUGCUGCCUCCAUUUAUUCAUCUUAUCAGUGAAUAAGUAUAAGAAAGUAUCUUCUUUGACAUCUCCAAAGCAACAGUAAGAAAAAAAACCGGUGAUGAAGUGAUGACUCUGCAGCAGAGCUUGAUAGAAAUAUACAUGGGUCAGUUAUAUCCUCAAGCAACAUUAAUAUGACAAAAGCACCAACUGCAUUGGCACCCAAAACCCUGCCACAUGUUCUUGAUAAUGAGGCUGCGCACAAUGUUUCAUACAAUGAACCAACAGACGUUCCAAUGGUGGCUCAAAUUUUGGGUUUUUCUCCUUCUGAGUUUUGUUUUCAUGUUGCACAGGGUUUGUUGAUAGUUAAAUUUUAGGGCGUUAUUGUUCGAUUUCUUCAUCACAGAUAUGGAAGCGGAAAACAAGCAUUAAUCGAUUUGGUGCAAGAUGACCAAAGCAAUCAAACCAACAGCUAGAGAAUAACAAACCCAUUAGAAAAUCGACCAAAAGAUGAAGCGAUUUUUGCGUGCUUACUCUUGUAAUCACUCCAUGUGCCAUGUGCAAACAAUCGAAGCACAUGGAGGUACACAGAAUUUUCAGUUCCUUCAAGCUGCACAUAUUCCACAGUCAAAAAACAAAUGCGUAUGAAACAAAAUCCAGUAACAAUCAAUAAUUUUAUUUUCUCUUUGGCUGCAACAAAAUUCUGAUUAUACAUCCUUUGCUCAAACCCAGAAACUACACGACCAAAAUAUACACAGAAAACUGAAAUUCCACAAUAAAUAAAUAGAAACAUGGGAACCUGAAGAACAUUAGGGACAGCGAUAAUUUCCGAAAAGGCAAAAAGGGCAGGGUGGGAGGUGACUUCUGCAACGAGGGGGCCGAGAGCAGAGCCAUCGAGUGAUGAGGCUUGCUUCACGAAGUGAUCAAUGACCUCCUCUUGCUUUUGCUCAAUCUCCAUCUCAAAAAACAACAGAAAUUACUAAUUGCAACGAUGGAAAAAUCGAGACGAGACGGUGAAAAGUUCAGCAGUGGAAAGCUAGGGAUUUGGUGGGUUGGAAUUUCGGGGAAGAGAUUGAGGAAGGGCCCAGAGGUUUAGGGGGUCGAAAAUAACCCUAAAAUCGUCUCCAACCGAGGGCUAGGCCAGAGGGCUCUGGAAUUUGAGAGGGCCCACGGGAUCAGAGAGGGCUGGAGGGCUGGAGCGCUGGCUGCUUUCGGCCAGCCAGCCCCGGGCUGGCUAUUUUUUUUUUAUAUGAUUUCCUAUUGCUGUCGGUUAUAGCCGACAGCAUUAAAGAUAUUCUUUUUUUUUAAUAGUUCUACUAUUAGUGUCGGUUAUAACCGAUACUAAUAGUUUGAAAUGUUUUUUAAUAUAACGGCUAGUAGCCGUUGUAUUAUUAGGCCUUUUUUUUUUCUUUUUUUUUUAAUGAAUUUAAACUUUUUUUUUUUUAAUGAAUGUAAACUUCUUUUUUCCCCUUUUUUUUUUCCUUUUCAUAUGAAUCAAAUUUUGUUUCAUAUUUUUUUUCCUAUAACUUUUAUUUCACAAAAUUUGUUUCAUAUUUUUUUUCAAUUCUAUUUUUUUCGUAUAACUUCCUAGGCCAUUUAUACAACAUUAAAUUGUAGUUUUUAAAUAAUAAAUUAUGUUUGGCCCUAUGGCCCUCGGUUGGAGACGGUUUUUUGUGACAGGGCUAAAACGAGCCCUUUGGCCCUCUGGCCCUCGGUUGGAGACGGAGGCAAAUAUGGCCCUGUACUGUUCAUUAAAAUAUUAAUAUCUUGGGGAAUCUUGGAGGGCUAGAGGGCUCAAACGAGCCCUCUGGCCAGCCUUCGGUUGGAGAUGGCCUAAGGGUAGAAUGAUGCAUUGUCAGAUUCUAUUGUGGGCACCUGGCAUUCGCAUCGAGACAUCUCCAUAUCUUAACCGUAAUAUUUAUUAAAAUAAAUGAGUAAUAUAAUUUGACCGAAAUUGAUCGUUAAUAUUAAAACGUAAUAUGAAGUUACAUGUUAUAUUGAAAAAAAGGUUAAAUUAAUAAAAAAUUAAAUGAAAAACCUAAAUGAGAUCAAAGAAUCCAAUAAUGAGAUCAAAGACAUCUCCAGUGCAUGUAUGAUAUAUAUUUUCCGAUUAGGGAUUUGGAUUGGAAACCUUAUCUGUCAUUUCUGCUUUGACAGUCUUGUUUCUCUAUUUGUAAAUAUGAAUUCAUCACACAAAAACACAAAAAGGUUUUGUUAUUUCCCAUUAAUUUUCUUGUUCAAAUAUGUCAAUAAUAUGAAAGGUUUUGUUAUUCUUUAAUGUGGGACUUUCGCCUUCACCUCUUCACAUGUACCAAUGACUUGUUUUUUCCCAUCAAUUUUCUUGUUAAAAUAUGUCAAUAAUUUUGAAAAAUGGUACAUAAAAGUACUUUUAUAAAGUUAUAAUAUCCUUCACGUGAAAAUGUUUUUUUGCAAGAAUAAAAUGUGUAUUGUCCUUGCACGACAAAAGAGAAAUUAAGUCACAAUGACCAUGAAAACUAUUGAGGAGAAUUUAUAAGAUAGAUAUUUAUAUAAAUGAUAACAUUAUUAUUUCAUCAAUGAUAUAACACAAGUUUUAGGGCUAACGACAUUGAUGUUUUCUGUUUCUACAAAACCAGUUCCCUUGUAAUCCACGAUUCUCAUUCAUUCCCUCCGAUGAUUGGAACAAUGUUGUACAAAUUUCGUAGCUCUGGUUUUAAAAUUUUAGAUAAUUCUUGUUAUAAACAUUACUCUUAAAUAAGUAUUCUUAGUUACUAAGGCAUAGGAAAGUUUCGAUUUCAUUUGAUUGAAAAGAUUGUCUCCAAUUAAUCGAAUGAAUAAGAAUCCUUUCAAAUGAACAUAGCUGCUUUCAUUCUAAUUUCAGAAAAUCCAAAUCCAUGAAAACAUGCAGCACUCUACUAUCUUUAUUUACAUUACUUUCUAUCUCCAUUUAAUUGUUAAAGAAACUCGAUGGUACAAGCAAACUGAUAUAACUUAAAAACAAUAUGAUUUAUAAGGCUGAGUCUUGAACUUGAACAACACAAUCAACUAAAAGCUAAAAAACACCAAUACAUUCUAUCUUUUUUCUUUUUUAAAAAAACCUCGACGGUACGAGGGAAAAUUUAUUGAAUAAAAAAGAAGUUAUAUCUAGUCAGGGGAUAUAAACUUUACCCCUCAAAAUAAAAAAAGAAAAAAAAAAAGAAACCGAAAGUAAAAGAAAAUAUGAGGGACAUACACUUACAUAACCUGAUGCAAACUUAUAAAUAAACAUAUAGAAAGUGAAGGAAAGAAACACAACAGAGAAAACAAACGACAACAAGAAAUGCGCAACGGUAACAAACUGAUCAUUCCAACGACUUAAGAAACAAGUCGGGCCUCCUUGUGAUCACAACAUCUGCAAGAACUACUCCCACUACCAACCCACUUCCACAUCCGGCCGAAACAAUUUUCCAAUCAAAUUCAAAUAUGCCUUCUGAGCUAGAAUCACCUUCGUCGACGGUUGAAGGUGGAAGUUGAGGGGCCUUAGGAUUUCCACAUUUCUUUGGCAAUGGAUCUCCACACAACCCUGGGUUUCCCUCGUAUGAAGUGAAUUUCAAGGAAGUAAGUUGGGUUCCAAGGGAUGAUGUGAUAGAACCAGUGAGAAUGUUGUGGUAUAGAAUCAGUUUCACCCAAGGAAGGAAAAGUGGAGGUUGGUCUGAAAUGAAGUUUUGAGAAAUGGCCAACAAUACCAAAGUUUCUAUGGUUGUGUUCCACAUCCAUUUUGGUACUUGGCCUCGGAUUUUGUUUCUAGAAAGGUCCAAACGCUCCAAACUUUUCUAAUAUUGUAAGAAAGAUGGAAACUCUGUUAGGUUGCAAAAACUCAAUCCAAGAAUGGUGAACUGUGGAACUGUUGAAUUCACAAUUUAAUUGGAGUUGGUAAAGAAAUUGUAGAUUUUGAAACAUUUGAAACUCUACUACACCACACUCAGACUAUUCGAAUGUAGAUAAAGGAUCUGAAGGUUUGUGAGAUUUGAAAAAGAUGUGAGGUUUGCCAAGGAAUCAGGAAUCGGACCUCCAAAUCUGUUGAGUGAAAUGUCUAGAUCAGUGAGCUUCCUAAGAUUCCCAAGUGAAGAUGGAACCAACCCUUCCGAAAAAUUGCAUUGAGCCACAUCCAACUCUUGCAGUGAAUCAAGGUUUCUAAACGAAGAGGGUAUGUUCCCGAAAAACCUAGUAAAGGAAACUUUCAGAAGCAUGAGAGGACUACUUCGAUUAAAUUCAGGAAAAUAUCCAGUCAGAUCUUGGUUGUAUCUCACACUAAGAAUUUCUAGGUUUGGUAGUUGGAAAAUUCUCACAGGAAAUUCACCAAACAGGUGACAUCCCACGAUGGCUAGGGCAUUCAAAGAUGAUAAGUUAGCCAUUGAAUAAGGAAUUGCCGAAGAUAUGUUUACCAAACUGAGGGAAAGUACUUCGAGACUAGUUAAGUUUUGAACUAGGCUUCCAAACUGAGGUAGUAGGAAUUUGAGAGUAAUUGAAGUUAUUGUCAGAGAGGUUUAACCUUUGACAUCACUUUCAUCUCCAUUUUGUUUGUUAAAAGAUACGAACAAACGUUGACAUAACUUAAAACAAUACGAUGUAUAGGGCAUGGUCUUGACCUUGAACAACCAAUCAACUAGAAGCUAAAAAGCAGAAAUACAUUCUUUCUUUCUUUUUAAAAAAACCUCGACGGUACGAGGGAAAAUUUUAUUGAAUAAAAAAAAAGUUACACCUAAUCAGGAGGACAUAAACUUUACCCCUCAAAAUAAAGAGACAAUGAAGAAAAGAAAGCGAAAAUACAAGAAAGUAGGGGACAUACACUUACAUAACGGGAAACAAACUUAUAACUAAACGUAUAGGAAGAGAAGGAAAAAAACCACAACAAAGAAAAUAAACGACAACAACAAAUGCAUAACAUUGUAACGUACCCAAUUUCUAAGCCCCCCACUAGUACUCUAAAUUUUCCUUAUCAUUUGUCUGAUCAUUCCAACAAUCUUAAGAAACAAAUCGGGCCUCCUUGUAAUCACAACAUCUGCAAGAAUUACUCCCACUACAAACCCACUUCCACAUCCGGCCGAAACAAUUUUCCAAUCAAAUUCAAAUAUUCCUGCUGAGCUAGAAUCACCUUCGUCUACAAUUGAAGGUGGAAGUUGAGGGGCCUUAGGAUUUCCACAUUUCUUUGGCAAUGGAUCUCCACACAACCCUAGGUUUCCCUCGUAUGAAGUGAUAUUCAAUGAAGUAAGUUGGGUUCCUUGUGGUAUAAGACCUGUGAGAUUGUUGUGAGACACAUUGAAAUUGGCAAGAAAAGUAAGUCGACUCAGUUGUUGGGGGAUCUGUCCUGAGAGCAUGUUUUGUGAAAGGUCCAACGAUUCAAGCUUCGUCAAGUUUCCGAAGGAUGAUGGAAUAGAACCAGUGAGAAUGUUGUGGGAUAGAUUCAGCGAACGAAGCUCCUUAAGGUUCCCAAUGAAUUCUGGAAUUUUCCCUUCAAAUUUGUUGCUUGAGAUAUCAAAGGAUGCAAAUUCUUCUCGGAUCUUUGGGUAGUAUUGCUCCAAACCUUUUGUUGCUAUUGUGAGUUGGUAAUCAACAUUGCUCCAAACCGGGAAUCCAUCGACAUCAUAAACUACACGUGUGUACAUAUAUGUUGACUUGUUUACAGUAAUAUCUAGAAACACAGAUGGAACCGCUCCAGUAAAAUCAUUGUAAGCCAAAUCAAGAAUGCGUAACUUGGGGAAAUCGACAUUCUUUCUAGAUUUUCCAAUCACACCGUAGAAUCCAUUAUGGCGCAUUGCCAAAAGUUUUAACUCUAGAAGAGUCCCCAACCAAAUGGGAAAAACAUCAUUGAAACGAUUGUUUGACAAAACAAGAUACUCAAGCAUCACACAAUUGGCCAAUGACCUCGGCAACUGCCCCUGCAACUUGUUAUGACUCACAUCAAUCAUUCUCAAACUGCUUCCUUUGUUGUAUGUCUGAGGAAUAAUUCCGUGAAAAGCGUUGUUUCCGAGAAGUAGAAGUGUCAGAUGAUCACUAAAGUUUCCAAGACACUGAGGAAGCAUGCCACUCAAGUUAUUUUUCGACAAGUCAAGGGACAGAAGAUUUUUCAUAUUGCAAAGCAACGGUGAGAUUUCUCCAGUAAAGUUGUUGUCUGCAGCUGCAUAUUCUCGCAUGGUUGGUGGAGGUAUCGGUAGUGAUCCAUGAAACAUGUUGGACGAAAACCUUAGACAUAACAGUUUCACCCAAGGAAGGACAAGUGGAGGUUGGUCUGAAAUGAAGUUAUUGGAAAUGUCUAACAAUAGCAAAGUUUCUAAGCUUGUAUUCCACAUCCAUUUUGGUACUUGGCCUCGGAUUUUGUUUCCAGCAAUUUCCAAACGCGUCAACCCAUUCUGAUAUUGUAAGAAGGAUGGAAACUCUCCUAAGUUGCAAUUACUCAAUCCAAGAACAGUGAACUGUUUAACUGUUGAAUUCAAAAUUCUGGAUUGAGUGACAAGUUCUAAACCGUUCCCGCUUAAUUCGAGUUGGUAAAGAGAUUGUAGAUUUUGAAACAUUUGAAACUCUACUGCACCACUCAGAGUAUUCGAAUGUAGAUACAGGAUCUGAAGGUUUGUGAGAUUUGAAAAUGACGCAGGAACUGAACCAUUUAAUCUAUUAAAAGCAAAAUCUAGGUACUCUAGUUUGCUAAAGUUGCCUAGCCAAGAUGGGAUUGGACCGGUUAAUCGACUUGUACUAAUCCUAAAAGUAGCCAGUUGGGUAAGGUUUGCCAAGGAAUCAGGAAUUAGACCUCCAAAUUUAUUGGCUGAAAUGUCUAGAUAAGUGAGCUGCCUAAGAUUCCCAAGAAAAGAUGGAACCAACCCUUCCGAAAAAUUGCAUUGAGCCACAUCGAAGUUUUGCAGUGAAUGAAGGUUUUGAAUUGAAGAGGGUAUUGUUCCAAAAAAGCCAGUAAAGCCGACUUUCAGUAAGAUGAGAGGACUGCUUUGAUUAAAUUCAGGAAAAUAUCCAGUCAGAUCUUGGUUGUAUCUCACACUAAGAGAUUCUAGGUUUGGCAGUUGGAAAAUUCUCACUGGAAAUUCACCAAACAGGUGAUAGUCCCUGAGGUAGAGGGUUGUCAAAGAUGAUAAAUUAGCCAUGGAAUGAGGAAUUGCCGAAGAUACAUUUACAAAACUGAGAGAAAGUACUUCGAGACUGGUUAAGUUUUGAACUAGGCUUCCAAGAUCUGAUGCUUCAAGUUUCAACAAGGGAUAAUUCUCCUCUUCUGACGACUGAUGAUCCUUAUCUUCUGACAAUCUAUCGAGAUUGAGAGCUAGAUUAAGGUAUGUCAACUUGGAUAACAGUGAAAGUUCAGAAGGGACUUGACCAGAAAAGACAGAGGUAGAGAGGUCAAGAUGAGUAAGGCUUGGAAAAUUCCUAAUGCUAGUAGGAAUUUGAGAGUAAUUGAAGUUAUUGUCAGUGAGGUUUAACCUUUGAAGAUGAACAAGGCGGAAGAGGCUGCUGUUGCUGUUGAUAGUGUUGGGACUUAAAAAGGCUUCACUACUUUGGAGAUGUUUAUCUCACAAAGAAGAAUGAAAUGCAGCGGAAUUGAUAGGCAAGAGAAAGAACACUCAAAGUGUUAUACAAAUUUUUUUUAUUCUCACACAAACUUAGUACAAGAGGAAACACUCAAACACUCUCACACUUCUUGCUCUCUUACUUGCUCUCACUUCUUCUUAGUUCUUGCUUCACAACUCACACACAUACACCUAUUUAUAGGCAUGUUUGCCGACCUAUGCCAUCACUAGAGUUUUCUAGUGUAUGAACAUGCACAUACUACACCAACCUAGGCAUUUGCUAGAUUAUUCUAGCUUGUUAUGCAUGCCACCGACAUGGGCAUUACAUAAUAACCUAUACAUUUAUGAUGGUUCUAGCCUUUUCUACAUACAAACCAUUUUUCUAGAUUUUCUUAAACUUUUCCAACUUUCUACCUUCUUUGCUAGAGUUUUCUAGCAUUUUCUCAUUGGUUUUGGGUUGGAUCACUUGUCUUGGGCCUAAGACAAGAUUACUAUUCAACAUCCCCCCUUAAUCUUGUCUUGUGACGCCGAUUGAGUUUCUCAGUCUGACAAAGUCUUCUUGCCUAAGUGGUUUGGUAAAUAUGUCGGCGACUUGGUCUUGUGACUUCACGUAUUCCACUUGCACAUCCUUUCUUGCAAUGCACUCUCUUAUGUAGUGAUAACGAGUAUCUAUGUGCUUGCUUCUGUCAUGGAAUACUGGAUUCUUUGUUAGGGCUAUUGCAGACUUGUUGUCGACAUAGAUCUCUGUUGGUUCUUCUUGUGGCAUGCUUAAUUCUUUUAGCAAGUUUCUCAGCCAAAUUGCAUGGCAGACACAUGAAGUAGCAGCUACGUAUUCAGCUUCGCAGGUAGAGAGAGUGACAAUCGGUUGCUUCUUCGACAUCCAUGUGAAUGCAGUGUCUCCCAUGAAGAACACAAAUCCAGUAGUGCUUUUUCUAUCAUCGGAAUCUCCUGCCCAAUCAUUGUCGCUAUAUCCAGCAAGUUUGUAGUUAUCAGAACUUGAAUAGAAUAAGCCAAAGUUAACAGUACCUUUAAGGUAUCGAAGAAUUCUUUUGGCUGUCUUCAGAUGUGUAGUUGUGGGAUUCUCCAUGUAGCGACUGACUAAUCCGACGGCAUAGAGAAUAUCUGGUCUUGUGCAAGUCAAGUAACGCAAGCUUCCAACUAAACUCUUGAAAAAUGUUGGAUCUACACUUUCUCCUUCGUCAUGCUUGGUUAGUUUGACUCCGCACUCCACUGGCGUGUUUAUGGGCUUGCAGUCGUCCAUUUUGAACUUUUUCAGUAUCUCUUUUGUGUAGCUUUCUUGGGAGAUGAAAAUACCUUCUUCGUUCUGCUUGACUUCAAUGCCUAGGUAGUAUGCCAUCAACCCGAUGUCCGUCAUCUCGAAUUCUUUGGUCAUCACUCUCUUGAACUCUUCAAACAUGCUUGGAUUACUUCCGGUGAAGAUUAGAUCAUCCACAUAUAAGCACACAAUCAAAAUAUCUCCAUCUUUGACUUUGACGUAGAGAGCAUGUUCAUGAGGGCACUUGGUGAAGUUGUUCUCAUGGAAGUACUUGUCAAUGCGACUAUUCCAUGCUCGUGGCGCUUGUUUUAACCCAUAGAGGGCUUUCUUCAACUUCAAAACUUUAUCUUCAUGCCCUUUGAUUUCAUAGCCUGAUGGUUGCUGAAUGUAGACUUCUUCUUCAAGGACUCCAUUUAGGAAAGCGGACUUCACAUCCAUUUGUUGAAUCUUCCAUCUGUUUUGAGCUGCCAACGAAAUUAGUAAUCGUAUAGUUUCCAACCGAGCAACAGGUGCAAAUACCUCAUCAUAGUCGAUUCCGGCUCUUUGACUAUAGCCCUUCGCCACUAAUCUCGCCUUGUAUCUUUCGACCUCUCCAUUGGCAUUUUUCUUUGUCUUGUACACCCACUUGACUCCGAUGGCUUUGUGUCCUUUCGGAAGAAUAGCGAGUUCCCAUGUAUCAUUCUUCUGGAUUGCUUCAAUUUCUUCAUCCAUUGCUUUCCUCCACUUAGUAUCUUGCACUGCUUCUUGGAAGUCAACUGGUUCACAAUCAGCAAAGAGACAGAAAAGUGUAGGAUUAUCGAGUCUUUCAGCUACCUCAUAAAGAUCUCGUAGACUUCUUGUGCGUGGUACUUCUCUUUCAUUUAGACUCCCACUUGGUGAUGCUGAUGCUGGUGAAUUUCCAUGAUUGGUUGAUGUUGGUGAAGCAGGUGGAGUAGUGGAUUCUUGUUGAACUUCUCUUGCUUGCUCCAUCGUCCCUUGUUCAUUCUUUUCUUCAAAUUGAGGAAAGAAGCUGAGAUCACUUGCAUGAGAGCUAAAAUCCCAUUCUCCUUCUUCGUCGAACGUCACGUCUCGACUGAUCAUCGUCUUCCCAUUGUUUGGAUUAUACAACUUGUAGCCUUUUGAAUUUGAGUCAUAGCCGAUGAAGAUGAACUUCUCACUUUUGUCGUCGAGUUUGGUUCUCCUCUCGUCUGGUACAUGUACAUGGGCUAUGCUUCCAAAAACUCUUAGAUGGGAGAUACCUGGCUUUCUUCCACUCCAUGCUUCUUGUGGAGUCUUUCCCCACACACUUCUUGUUGGAGACCGAUUGGAUAGGUAGACAGCACAUGCUACAGCUUCUGCCCAUAACUCUUUAGGUAAUCUCUUACUUUUGAGCAUACUUCGAGCCAUGUCGAGGAUAGUUCGAUUUUUUCUUUCCGCCACACCAUUUUGUUGAGGGGAUCUUGGAACUGUCAAAGGUCGACGAAUUCCAUUUUCUUCACAAAACUCUUGAAAUUCCUUCGAAGUGAAUUCUCCUCCUCGAUCAGAUCUCAUGGCUUUGAUCUUGCAACCACUUUCUUUUUCUACAGCGACUUUGAACUUCUUGAAUGCUCCAAAGACUUCUGAUUCUGCUUCAAGAAAUACACCCAGGUUUUCCUUGAAAAAUCAUCAAUGAAGAGAAGGAAAUAAUUAUUUUUACCCAAAGAGCUUGGUUUUAUUGGGCCGCACACAUCGGUGUGAAUGAGCUCAAGUGGCUUCUGGGUUCUUGUGGUCGACUCCUUUGGAAAGCUUUUCCUGAACUGUUUCCCAAGUAAACAUCCUUCACAAACUUGAUUAGGGUGGCUGAUGCACGGUAAGCCUCUCACCAUCUCCUUCUUAGAUAAUAACUCCAAUCCCCCAAAGUUAAGAUGCCCAAAACGAAGAUGCCAAAGCCAAGAUAUGUCUUUGUAACAAAUCUUGAGACACUUUGUAACAUCGUUUUGAAUGUCCAUGGGAAACAUCCUAUUCUUUGACAUUUUCGCCUUGGCAAUUAAUCUUCCUUUGUCAUCUCUAAGAAAAAGGAUAUAAUUUUUCGUAUGAAAAUCAUAACCUUUUUCUAAGAGUUGACCCAAACUCAAAAUGUUGCUUUUCAUAUUGGGCACGUAGUAGACAUUUGAAAUUAAUUGGUGACCGCCAUUUUUCAAGGGAAUAAGGAUGUUACCUUUUCCUUUUACAGGUAUUUUGGAUUCGUCUCCAAAAGAAACGUUGCCACUCACUGAUUCAUUGAGCUCUACGAACACGCUUCUUCUUCCACACAUGUGGUUGCUGGCGCCGGUGUCAAGAUACCAUGUAUAGUCUUGGUCUUUAUCAUUGUUCUUGCAUGCUAGUAGCACAAUGCCAUUCUCUUCUUUAUCUUCUUUCACAUAAUUGACCUUUUCAUCAGGUCUGUUGCUUGGAGCUCUACAUUCCCAAGCAUAAUGCCCGAACUUUUGACAAUUGUAGCAUUGAACUUGAGAUUUUUCAUACCUCAAAUUUGAGCGCCCUCUUCCACGACCUUUUGUUGAGCUUUCUCCUCUAUCGUAGUUGCUUUGGUUGUUGAAGUUCCAACCACGUCCACGUCCAUAUCCACGCCCACGUCCGCGACCUUGGCCACGACUUCUUUCGUAUUGGCUUCUCUCGUUGUCGAAGCUUCCUUCUUUCUUCUUUGGCUGAACAUGUGUCUUGAGGAGCUGCUCAUCAUUCCCUUGCCUCUUCUUAUGUUUCUCUUCAUAUGCUUGUAGCGAACCCAUUAAUUGCUCUAUACUAAUUUCUUCCAAGUUCUUUGUUUCUUCAAUCGUCACGACAAUGUGCUCGAACUUGGGGUCCAACGAGCGUAGUAUCUUCUCCAUAAUUCUAACAUCUUCUAACUUUUCUCCGUUUCUUUUUAAUUGAUUGGAAACGGCUAAGACUUUUGAAAAAUAAUCAGAGAUUGAUUCAGACCCUUUCAUUUGUAGAGAUUCGAACUCACCUCUUAGUACUUGAAGACGAACCUUUUUCACUUGUUCGGCUCCUUUGUAAGAGGUUUGAAGCUUCUCCCAUGCUUGCUUGGCAGAGGUUGCACUCGAGACUUUCUCAAAGCCAUUGUCAUCUAAUGCUUGGUAGAUGAGGUAGAGAGCCUUCUUGUCUCUCUUUCUUGAAUCUUUCAAACUCUCCUUCUGGGGUUGGGACAGAGUAGCUUCAUCUUCUGGCUCAGUGUAGCCUUUCUCCACGACUUCCCAUACAUCAUGUGCUCCCAAAAGGGCCUUCAUUUUGAUACUCCAAUUAUCGAAGUUGUUGUUGUCGAGCACUGGAACUUGGAAGGCUGCCAUAGCGUUGCUAGCCAUAGCUCUGAUACCACUUUGUUGGGACUUAAAAAGGCUUCACUACUUUCACAAAGAAGAAUGAAAUGCAGCGGAAUUGAUAGGCAAGAGAAAGAACACUCAAAGUGUUAUACAAAUUUUUUUUAUUCUCACACAAACUUAGUACAAGAGGAAACACUCAAACACUCUCACACUUCUUGCUCUCUUACUUGCUCUCACUUCUUCUUAGUUCUUGCUUCACAACUCACACACAUACACCUAUUUAUAGGCAUGUUUGCCGACCUAUGCCAUCACUAGAGUUUUCUAGUGUAUGAACAUGCACAUACUACACCAACCUAGGCAUUUGCUAGAUUAUUCUAGCUUGUUAUGCAUGCCACCGACAUGGGCAUUACAUAAUAACCUAUACAUUUAUGAUGGUUCUAGCCUUUUCUACAUACAAACCAUUUUUCUAGAUUUUCUUAAACUUUUCCAACUUUCUACCUUCUUUGCUAGAGUUUUCUAGCAUUUUCUCAUUGGUUUUGGGUUGGAUCACUUGUCUUGGGCCUAAGACAAGAUUACUAUUCAACAGAUAGAGCCGUGGAGACAGCUGCUACCAAGAUCUAGGCCAAUCACAUGACCCGUCUUCUCAUCACACUUGACACCUUCCCAUGAGCAGCAGGUGCUAUUUCCUCCUUCAGCUGGUUUCCAUGAUGAAACCUUUGGAUAAGCAUCGGGAGAUCUAGAAGCAGAUUUGUCAAUAGUAAAGCUGUCUCUGAAUUGCAGCAGGGCGGACUUCUCCUCAUCAGGGCAAGAUGGAUACUGCUUCUGCGAAGAGUAGGAAGAGUUAGCAAUAACCACAUGAUGAAACAGCAACAAAACUAGUACUGGUUUUGAAAUGCGAAUGGUGGAGAUAUCAAGAAACCCCAUGACAACAAUAUUUUGAUUUUUUUUUUUUUUUUUUUUUUUGCACUCUUAGCUAUGUAUGGAGUGGAAAGUGAUACAACUAUUUAUAGACUGGCAUCAGCAUAAAAUUCUUCCGCAAAUUAAUCUCUAAAAAGUGAUGGAGAUGGGUGUAAUGAGGACAAGUGCAUCGUAUCUUCUACAUGUAUAAAAGAUGCUCUUGACUAAUUUAUUCGUGAG